Molecule: long non-coding RNA, 58323 nt
Filed under: Citrus maxima (pomelo)
Lineage: Eukaryota; Viridiplantae; Streptophyta; Magnoliopsida; Sapindales; Rutaceae
Description: long non-coding RNA (CMAX_LNC001422)
Source: RNAcentral
UUAGGGUUAAGGCUUACCAUAGAGAACUGGAUGGCGCUAACUAAAUGACAAGUUGAAACGGCAUCUGCAAUCGUAUUGAAUGACAUUGAACCGCGAGGUAGGGUUUAAAUGAAUACCGAGCAGAGAUAAAUUGGUGUGGUGAAUUAGGGUUUUGUGGCUACGUUUUAUUUCGAUUGAAAAAAGGAAUUUGAGCUUUUGCUUUAAUUCAACGGUGUCGUUAAUUUAAACAUUCAUUUUAGGUUGCAGUGGCCAGUGGAGAGAGGGGGAUUCAUUCAACGCUUAGCCAAAAUUUGGCUGUAAGUGUUGAUGUGUUUUAAGUUAUACAGAACGGUGUCGUUAAUUUAAACAAUACUGUUUUACAAUCUUAUAAGAUCACAAAACCUAAGCAUGACUUAUAUGUAUCAUUUAUUUAGGACGGUUAAGUUAUAAGUCAUGAAUAUGUCAUAUAUUCUGGACAUAUGAAUAUAUAUUAUGAAUCUAUCAUAUUUUUAUGACACAUUCGUGACACAAUGAUAUAUGUCAUCAAAUUUACGUCAUUAUUUAAUAUUUUUCUAGUGGUGUCAGAUUUUUGAAACAUUUUUGUUAAUAGCAAAAACUCUAAUCCUUUAGCAAAAGACUAAAAAUUAAAAAAAAAAUCUGUUUAAAUAUCAGUUGGCUCAUGAUCAACACUUCAAUAUUGUUUGUUGUAUUUUCUUUCUUUCUUUCUUUGUCAUUUUAUUAGAUUUUUUUUGUAUCAUAGUUUGUUUUGCUUAAGUAAUUGUUCAUUGUUUAUGUCUGUGUUCUUACUAACAGAGUAAAAGAUUUUGAGAGAAUGAAUUGCACCCUUUUCCAUUGAUUGUAAGACUUUUAUAUGCAGCAAUAUAUAUAACAACUGUGCCUAUUUUAAAGAGAUAAGAUAACAGAAAGAUAUACUUUACAUUUGAAUUAGUUUGAAUGAGUAAACUAGAUAGGUCCCAUAUUCUAAGAGGAGAAUCUGCUGACACUUACUGGCUUUUGAUAAUUUAUGGUUGGUUUUUUAUUCAGACCCUCGAAGUACCUUUUUGUUAAUAUUAAAACCUCUGAUCCUUAAGAAAGAAAAAAAAAUUCUCUAUUUAGUUAUUAGUUAGUUCAAGAUCAAUAUAGCGAUAUUGUUUGUGGUCUUUUCAUUCUCUAUCUUUCCCUCUAGUUCAUUUUAAUUUAUUUGUAUUCCUUUCUUUGACACUUGUAUUUAUAUAUAUAUAUUGUUAAGCAACAGGCAAUGGCUGUUGAAGGGUGUCUCCCUGCUUUUUCCAGCAUUGUAUCACAAGGUUCAAAAGCAUUAUUCGAACCGAUUAUGCGGCACAUAUCUUAUGUGUUCGAGUACCAAAGCUACAUAGAUGGGCUAAAAGAUUGAGUGAAGGAGCUGGAAUAUAUAAGAGAAAGGGUGCAAACGCUGGUUAGAGAGGCUACUCUACAAGGAGAUGAGAUUUAUAAGGGUGUCUGAGACUGGCUAAAUAGAGUUGCUGAAUUCAGUGAAGGGGUUGCAAAAUCCAUCAUUGACGAUAAAGAUAGAGCUAAGAUAGAGCUAAGACUGAGCAUGAUUGCAAAUGCACGAUUGCAAAUGCAUUGGAUCAAUUAAGAAGUUCCAAUCUAGGAGAAAUUCAAGGAAUGCGUGCAGAUGUAUAAACCUCCAUAAAAUUGUUACGACUUGAAGGAUUGUAUAUAAGCAUUAAAUUGAUCUAAUUUAAUUUGUAUGUAAACAUUAAAUUGUAUAUAAAUACACAGAACAGAACCAUAUCAGUGUUGGAAAAAAAAAAAAAAAGAAUCCAGAGUUAUAUAAAUUCAAUAAAAAAUUACUGAAUUUUUUAUUACUAACUUUGAACACUCUAAUUUCAAUAAAAAAAUUAUAUUACUAAAAUAGUCUUAAUUGAAUUUACUAUUAAAGACAUUAGAAUAACUCAACACUAAUAUUCUAAAAUAUAUUUCUCUCCAUAGUCUAAUCUAAUCCAUUCUAAGAAUCCUAUAGAAAAUAUAUUAUUUACUUUUUCCUUAUUAAACACAAAAACAUGUCAUUUUGUUGCUAACUAAAAUUUUGGAACUAACAACAGCAGAUUAACAAAAUUAUCAGAAAAAGAAAUCAAACAAGAUUUUAAUCGUCGUCAUCUUCACUCUUGUCUUUUUCUUUUUCUUCACACAUGUGGCUUGCACACGCAUUCCCCUCUCUCAUCCUUAGGGCCGCCCUUCAACAAUAUCCAAUCAUCGAUUAUAAUUAUUUAGAUUGACCAAAUCAAGCAUUGAUCAUAUAUUGGUUGAGGUUAGAAAUAGGCAGGCAGCAGCGAUAAUACUACUAAUUAAUAUCUCAUGAGAAUUUUAAAGAAAAAUCUAACGUUGUCAAAUUCGUUUGAUUUCAAUGAAGUCUUUCUCCUACUUAUACUUUCACAUAUUCUCUUUUAUUUCCAAAGUUAAGGUUAUGGAUGUUGUAGAGUAAAAAGAUGAGCAUUGCUAGGAAAGCAAUAAAAGGAAAUAAAUAAAAAUUAAAAAUAUAAAAAGAGUUAAGUCAUUUUUUUUUCUAUUAGUGUUUUUGUAUUUAAUAACGAAAGAUAAAAAUAAAGUAGAUAUUAUCUAUUGGAUUAUUAAAAUAACACAGGUAUAACACAUGUCAAAAUCUCGUUAUUAUAAUAUUAGAAAAGGUUAAAUUAGGAGAAUAUUCAAAUCGGCGAAAUAAUUAAUAAAUCGUAUUUAUUAAUCAUCCACCCAAUUCAUGCAUACCCAAAUGGCCGUCAACGAGCUAACCAAAUCCCAGCUUGUUGUAAUCUGGGUUGGGCUUUUUGGGCGAUAAUUAACUGCCCGAGCUGCUCAUCUACCCCAAUAGAGCCUAACAAAAAUUUUCGCCUAAGCUUCACAAAAAUGUUCAUAAAUCUUUUUUUUUUUGGUAUCAUAAAAACAUAAAUUUAUUUCAAACACUUUUGGAGCUUAAUAAAAAUUUCCCAACAUUUCAUCUGACAAAGGUAGUUUAAAAGUGUAUUCGUUAAAUUCUAAAAUACAUACUUAAAAUCUUUUAGUGAUAAUCUAAUUAUAAAUUAAGGGUCUAUUUGGGAUUGAGAUUGAACAGUUAAAAUGUUAUAGUUGUUGUAGUUUAGAAGUUAAGAUGAUUUGAUUUUACACUUAUAUGAUAAAAAAUUUAUUAUAUCUUUUCUAAUUUUAUCAAAAUUAUUAUUAAAAAAUUAUAUUUAUUAUAUACUAUUAACUUUUAUUUUAUACUUAAAACUUUUUUUUCUUACGGCAAAAGUUUUAGCACCUCAAUACCCAACCAAGUCUAAAACUGCACAAAUAUAAUUAUGAGUGCGAAUGUUAAAAUCUACACACAUUCGUACUUGAUAAUUUCAAUCAACAGUGUUACAAACUUAGUUAAAAUAUUAUAUCUGAAAUUAUUGAGGGAAAAAAAAAAAGAAAACGAAUGUUGUUUUCAUGAUAGUGACAUGUGUCGUGCACAUUUUGCUGUUGGCUCUUUGGUCUCUAAGACUCUAACCCAGCGAAUAGGUUGUUGUGUCCUCGUUGUUAGAUGCCCGAACCCAGCGCAAGAACUUUGUACGAUACAUGGUGCGUUUGGGAUUGAGGUGCUGUAGCUUUUAAGCUAUAGUUGAUGUGAAAAAAAAGCUGUAAUUAUGAAACAAAAGUUAAUAAUAUAUAGUAAAUAUAAAUUUUAAAUAAUAAUUUUGAUAACAUUAUUAAAAAUAUAAUAAAUUUUGUAUUAUACAAGUGAAAAACCAUAUCAACAUAGCUUAAAAGCUACAGCAGCUAGUGUUUACCAAACACUUUAGUGUUGUAGCUUUUAAGUUACAGCUACCCAACCUCAAUCCCAAACGCACCCACAAUAUAUUUUAUGAAAGUGAUGAUGUUGCCAAUAAAGAUGAGUAAUAAACCAAACGGCGUCGCUUCCCUAACCUGUUAGAAAUAUCAACGCCCAUUGUCGCCCUCUCGUUCCAUUUAUUCAUUUAGCCCGGUCAGGGGAUUGACGAAUUAAAUAAACAACAAUAAUCGUCCGAUCCCCGCAGAUUGCCACUCAUAUUUAAUCCAACGGCUAGGAUAUGAACCCCUCUAUAACUUUUAUUUGUCGAAUCAGCCGCUCUCUCUAUUAAAAUUAAUUUUUUUUUUACAACGGCCGACGAGUGCUGACGUAUCAGAGACGCUUCACCAAUCAAUAAAAAAAUCAAUUGAAAAGGACGGUAUAGUGAGUGGAAGAGAAAUGCCAAUGGCAGAUCAAGGGAUGAAGAUACGAGCUCACUUGCAACGUGGUAUAGUUCAUCAUGGCUUUCCUAUAAGUUCAGGUCCUUUGAAUACUUUCAAUGAUCUUAUUAGUCAGAAAUUCAACAAUAAUUUUUACUUUUUACAUCCAGGAACAGUUUUAAGCACAAGCAAAUCAGGUGGUCAAUAGGCCUCAUAUGUUAGCAAGGUCCCCGUUUUGGUCACUUAAGUCCCAUAUGUUAGGAAGACUCCCUUUUUAUUUUUGGUAUUACUUAUGAUAGCAAAUCCUCUUUUUUAGGCCUCUUUUUAGUUAGUAAUUAUCUUAUAAUGAAGAAUUUUGUAUUUUGUUACACAUUUUAUAUUUGAUAACCUUAAUAUUAAAGAUCUCUAAUUGAUAGUAUUAUCUAAUUGUUAAUUUAUUAUUAGUUUUUCCAAAAAAAAAUAAAUUCUUUAUCUAUUUAAAAAGGUUAAUUAAUUAACAUUAUAAAAAAUUUUGUGCUAUUCUCUAUACAGAAAAUUAUUACAUUUAUUACUUCACUUCUGAAUUAAAAAAAAAAAAAAGAUUUAUUGAAAUAAUAGUUCUAGAGGAAGUAAAAAAGAUAUCUUCUUGAUUAUUUUUCUUUUUUGAACAUUUUAACUAUCUUGUUGAUUGUUAAUAUUCAAGAUAUAGUUAAAAAUUGAUUGAAUUCUAAGCUCUUUUAUGUUUCUUUAGGUGUUGAAGCUGCUGAAUGUAAGGAGCCCUCGUAAAACAAUUCCCAUAACGCCCCUAAUACUCUAAGGUCGACCCUGUGUAUAUCAUAUUACUAAUAAUGUAUAUCAUAUUUUUAAUAGGUCUUCAUUUUAGGCUAAAGUACUUGAACAAUAGUUCCCAUGCACUUUGUGAUCUUAUUACAAAAUAUUAAACUAAAUAGCUGUGGAAGUAACAAAGAGGGCAACUUUUUACCAUAAUGUGAUGAAAAUAAUUCAUUUGUCAUCACGAACUAACCAAAUCAAAACAAAAAACUAAUUAUCAUAUGGUUCAAAUCUGUGCAACAAUGGUGCAUUUAAAAGGAAAUAAUGUACAGUUAAAAUUUGUGCUUGUAACAAGAACUCUUCUCUUCAAGCCAACAAUUCCACCUAGGAGAGGAAGUGUUUUAGGCGACACUUUCCAACUAAUGAAAGCAGUGAGCUCUCAAACUCUGUUAUCAUUUUCUACUACUUGAAAAAGAGAGAAAGAGAAACGAGAGGAAAAACAGGUCUCCUCUGUUUUCAUUUUGGUGAUUGCAAAUAAUAUUUUUUUUUACUUUUACUCUUUAUUUAUUUAAUUUUUAAAAAAAAACUUUUAGCUCAUUAGUUCUUGUUCUUGUUAAUGCGUCUAAUAACUUAUAUGAUGAUCUGAUCAUAUCCGUAACAUUAACAUACCCCCAUAAUCCGUUAUUUUAUAAUUAUAAAAUUUGAAGAUUCGGUCAUGCAAUUUUGUAUGAUGAACAGUGUGUUCAUUUUUUCUGUGAAACAUAAGAACAAUUUGUAAAUAAUGUCCAUGCGGACCUUGUAAUAGCGAAGCAUCAUUAUUGAUCUUACUUUGAUGAUCGCACUUUAGUUUCUUUUUAAAGUGCCUUUUGUUUAUUUUAUCGGCAUCCGCUUUUACAAAAGUUUUGGUCCUCGUUCAUUCAUCAAAGCUUCUACUUUUAUCUUUUAUUAGUAAUCUUACAAAAAGCUUAAUUUAAUUGGAAUCAUGUUCGAUAUGAAGAUUGUUUUACUUACUUCAGUAAUCUUUCAAUCAACCGAAUUUAUACUUGGUCAGUAGGACAACAGUGACCAAGUACAUAAUAUGAAAAUUCAUUUGUAUUGCUUACUCUAAUAAGCUCUUAAACUCACACAUUCCUCUGCAGUUACCAGUGAUCUUUUGCUCACUAAAAUUGUUAAUAUAUAUUCAAGGUGAAUAAAGAAACUCAUCAUCCCAGAUAAUUAAAGAGGUGAACUUGUUCUAAAUCCUUUAAUAAUUUCUAUUAAUAGCAUAUAUAAUCUCUAAUCCUUGAUCUUGGUAGUAGUUCUUUCUUAAUGUCCAAGAAAAAUAUCUCUCAUUUGUCUUAAUCUUGUCAUUUAAUUUUCUUGAAUUCUGAGUUAGUGUUUAUUGUUAAAUUCGGUUUUCGGUUAGUAGCUGUUGGUUAAUAGCUUCGGUUAAUCCUUGAAUUAAACAUAUUAAAAUCUAAUCAUAAACCCGCCUUUCCCUAUUUUACAACACCCUUUAUGUAAUAGUGACUUCAAAAGUGUAACAUAUUUUGAACAAUUGCAAGGAAAGAACAUAUUUGACACUUCACAAAACGGUAAAGAUAUAAGCUUCAAUUCUUGUCCAACAAAUUAAUAUAACUAACGUCAAUUGAUCAAUAAUUCAGUAACAAAAAGGGGCAGAUAUCCUAGUCUUUCUUUACUAAUGAAGCAAGCCAUUAAACUUCGAAAGCUAUUUCUAUUUCCACAUUCUUCAUGUACCAAAGCCAAAAAAAAAAAAAAAAAAGCAACAAAAAUUUGGAAGUAAUCAUCUUUAUUCAGCAGCAUGCAUAUUAAUUAAAACAUAUUCAAAAAGAAAUAUACAAUAUCAGGUCUGGAGACGAAAUGAGCCCACAGAGACUACCAAUAAUGUAACGGCUUGAUUAAAAAUAUUAAUCAAGCCACUACAUUAGAAGAACAAGAGUUAAUCAUGCAUAGUAAUUAAAAAUAUUUUUGCUAUCAUCCACCUGUUCUCUCUAAAUAGUUGUCCCUUUUUUUUUUCUUUUGCCUGAAAUUCCAAGCAAAAAUAUAAUUAGAAGAUCAAGAGUUAAGGGUUAAAAAAAUGGAAAAAGAGGGCUCCUCUGUUUUCAUUCCCCUGUUUUUCUGUUCGGUGAUUACAAAGAUUUAAAUCAAAAUUUAUGAUGCAGGCUACACGGCACCUGGUGGAAGACUGCUAGGGUUUACCUUUUAUUCUUAGUUAGAAAUUUAAUUUAGAAUUUGUAGUGUGCGCCUUAUAUAAGUAGGUUUCCUAAUAGUAAAAUUAAAUAAUCUAAGUUUAUGAUGCACUAGGAUAUGAUUGUGAUAAAUGAGCUUUUUAUGUAUCCUCUGAGGUUGAUCAUUAUUUUACUACAUUGAAGAUUCAGUUAUCUCUUUGUAAUACUCUGGACUUCACAUACUAAACAGAAUGGAGCAUUAUUUUAUCCCGCUAAAUCAGUUUUUUAUUUUUUUAAAAAAUAAUUCAUCAAACACUUUAUAGCUCUGGUUUUAAGUUGGUAAACACUUUAAGCCGCAACUUUAAAUUCAGUUUACGAGAAUCCCUAACAGUCACAGUGGCUGAACCUAUCCAGACUAAAACCAGAUCAUGAAAGCUUAUAUACACCAAGAGAUUUAUCUAGAAAGUACCGCCGGCAGCCAGUUCAUUCGUUUCUGAGUUUGUUUCCAGAAACCCGGAAACUCCCCUGUUUCUGCAAACAGGGCUUCUUUGUUUUCAGUCCCCUGUUUUUCCAUUUGGUGAUUGUAAAAAUUUAAAUCUAAAUUUUUGAUGCAGUCUACACGGCACCUGCUAGAUGAUUGUUAGGGUUUAUCGUUUAUUCUUAAUUAUGAAUUUAAUUUAGAUUCGUAGUGUGCGCCUUAUGUAAGAUUAAAUAGAAUAAUGUAAAAAACAAAAGAAAAAAAGGCCUUUCUUAAUUUUGACUUCAUAAUGUUGCAGCAACCGUCCUCUGUUAUCAUUCCCCUGUUCUUCAGUUUGUUGAUUGCAAAUAACAUUCUUUGUAUCUACUCUUUAUAUGUUUAUUUUUUAAUUUUUAAGUCAUCAAUUCUUGUUCUUCUUAAAGCGUGUAGUAAAUUAUAUGAUCAUCUGAUCAAAUCCCUCACAUUACAUACAGCAGAAUCUGUUAAUGGAAUUUAUUAUUUUAUCAUAAUUAAACAGAAGAUUUGUUCAUGCAGUUUUGUAUGACGAGGAGAUUUCAUUUUUCUGUCAAAUACAAGAACAAUUUGUAAAUAAUGUCCAUGAAAGCUUGAAUGAAGAAUGGCAUUUAAUAAUUUUAGAAGAAUAUUGGCUUAUAGAGCAUAUUAGUAGGGAUAAGAUUUGUAGGUGUCUGGUAACGGAAAAAGGAGAAAAAAAAUGGAGAGUGGAGGCAUUACUUUUAUCUCAUCCUUAACUUCAGUAAGUGGAGGAGAACAAAGGGGAAAAGAGGGGAGUGGGGCAUGACCUUAAAAGGAGGAUUUAUUUAUUUUUUCGGGGUCUGCAGGGCAUCUUUUUCUCUCUUCCUCUCAUGGAAAAUCCUUUCUUUUACACUCUAUUUCAUUUUUCUGCAAAUUACUCAAAAAGCUUUUGGUUUUUAAGGUAAUGUUUAUUAAGCCAUAUGAGUGGUAGCACAAGUUUUUUGGCAAAGGCCCAGAAACUAACUUGAGCGUCGGAGGGUUCACGCCGGAAAAACUUUCGGCGCCUUUGACCGUCUUCUAUGAUUUUAAGUAUUCGCAAGUUAAUCGCUAGUGGUUGCAGGACAUCUUGACGAUUGACCAAUCGAUUCUCUACCAAAUAAAUCUAAUGCUGGUGUAGAAGUCUGAUAUUAAGUCGCUAAUAGACUAGAUCAGAUUUGGGCAUCAACAUUUGGCACCGUCUGUGGGGAAUCGGUACAAAAAGCCAACUUCUUGUCUCUACCAAUUUUGCAUCCGGCCAAGCCAAAGGCAGAAUAUUAUCAUGCACAAAUUGAUAAGCUGGCUCAAACACGGAAGCCUAUCAAGGCUGGAUGGAAUGCUUACCUGUAAAGGUUUUGGCUUAUUUAUUGCUUUAAGUAUAUUGUUAUUAAAAUUCAAUUUCCAAUUGCUAUGAUGAUUGAUUUAUCAACUGAGAGAUGCUUGGAAAUUCUUUAAUAACAUGCAUGUUUCAAUACCGUGCAUGAUAUAUUUGCUGAAAUUGAAUAUUAUCCCUUGGAAUUCGUUGAUAAUGUUCCUUCACAAAAUUAGCUUGUUAGAAUGGGCUUCAUUCAUGAUUCAAGAUUACAUGCUAUUAUACUUGCAAAUGAAUUAAUUUAGUAUUUUCCAACAACAUGCUUGACAUAAUGUUAACAGUUCAGAUUUAUUAUGGCUAAUUAUUCAGCUUCGUUAUGGCUAAUUGGAUGUAUAAUGCUGCUACCAUCAUUAUUUUGCUGAUGUAUUUAUAUUUCUUGAUUGAUUGUUCUCUUUUCAUCGAACUCAAGAUAUAAAGUCUGUUCAAAAGAGCAAUCGAUUUGCGGUAUUAUCAAUGUUCAAUUUCUUAAAAUAAAGAUCACACAAAUUGUUAAAUUCAUUUGGUGGUAAGCAUAAAAAAUCCACGGAUCUUUGGUUUCUUCAAGAUAUUUCCUGCUGGUUUUACACCCCAUCAAUCAAUCAUGCAGCUAGUUUUCAUGUGAAGAAUAUGCAGGGAAAGUAUUUAGACAAUUCUGGUAUGAAACUCGGUUCAUUACAAGUUGAGGCAGAAUUGUUAAAAUUCAAAUCAGGAGCUGUUCGUUAAAUCGCCUCAAGGGAUAUGAAAGUUCAAAAGUGAGUUUGUUGCUGAUUACACUACAUACACUACAUAUAUGCUUGAGAGAAUGUUGCCCAGGAGCCAAGAUCUAAACCCAUGUUCUGUUUCAGUUUAUUCAAUAUAAGUAUCAAACUGAUUGAGAGCAUGAGUUAUUCUUAACCAUAGCUUUAUUAUAUUUUCGCAAAGAGAACAUUAGAAAUUAUGCAUAUAUACGCUGUCUUUUGAUAGUAGCUGUCAUCCACAUUGCACAAAUUCUCAUAAUCGUUAAUGAGUGUUGGAAGAAGUAUAAUUAGCAUAAUCUGGAUGAGGCCGAGUAUUGGUAUUUUGGCUGACUUUAAUAAUGGUUUUAAAACAAAACAAUUUUUUAUUGAUGAUGAGAAUUGAUAGGCAUGUCUUCAAGCUUCAAAGAAUUGAUGAAGUUGGAUUUUUGUUUCCUUCAUAUUUUAUUCGUUUUGUGCCCGUGUUAAAAUAUUGCAAGAAUAAUUCUAAGAAGGGAGCAAAGCAGAGUCAAGCUCGGGAUUUGUUUGAUGAAGUACUAAUGAAAUAAUGCAGAGCACAAUCUCAGGUGCACUUGUUCUAAAACCUCAGUUUUAUAUUUAUCCUUUAAAUCCACUACCUGACUUAAAAAAUCUGAUGGAUGGGGUUUUGACUUAUUAAGUCGUUAAUAGAAAAUAGUUAAGAUUACAUAUUAUAGAUUAUAUAGCAUAGUCAUAUAUUAGCACACAACAUGCUUGACCGAAGGAUUGAUGGAACUUGGGUUAGCAUGAGAUCGUAUUUCCUUGAUACAGUGAUAUGACUUUGCUUAAACUUUUAUGGUACCAUUUAUAUAAUAUGAUUUAUUUUAUAUAUAAAUUUUAAUAUCUUUAGUGUUGGUAAAUGGUGCUCUGCACCUUUAGCAAAGGUCUUUAAUAAUAUUGCUAACCAAAUAUUAUAGAUGGUAAUAAAAACACCAAGGAUGUUUAUCCAUCAAAGGCCCAAACAUAUAUAAAUAGCUAAAGCGCAAGUUGUAAAUGUGAGCUAUUUUCUGGACAAGUUAUAAGUUAUAAGUCCGAAAUUAAAUUUUUGAUGGUUAUCUAUAUUUAAGGAUUUAAAGCAAAAACCUCAAAUAAGAACACAUUGAAGGCACGCAAAGGCUCUAAAGUCUCAAAGCCUGUUUUAUGGUGAGACAGGAAGCCAAGUAUGCCAGGAUCUGCUCGACCAAGCGAAGGCGAGCAGACCAAAAAAGUUUCAAAAAUCUUCUAAGGCACGCAAAGGCUCCAAAGUCUCAAAGCUUGUUUUAUGGUGAGACAGGAAGCCAAGCAUGCCAGAAUCUGCUUGACCAAGCGAAGGCGAGCAGACCAAAAAAGUUUCAAAAAUCUUCUAAGGCACGCAAAGGCUCCAAAGUCUCAAAGCCUGUUUUAUAGUGAGACAGGAAGCCAAGCAUGCCAGGAUCUGCUGGACCAAGCGAAGGCGAGCAGACCACAAAAGUUCCAAAAAAGUUUCUAAGGUAAGCAAAGGCUCCAAAGUCUCAAAGCCUAUUUUAUGGCGAGACAGGAAGCCAAGCAUGCCAGGAUCUGCUGGACCAAGCGAAGGCGAGCAGACCACAAAAGUUCCAAAAAAGUUUCUAAGGCAAGCAAAGGCUUCAAAGUCUCAAAGCCUCCUUGAUGGCGAGACAGGAAGCCAAGCUCGCCAGAAUCUGCUCGACCAUGUGAAGGCGAGCAAAAAAUGAGAAUUCCAAAACAGUUUCUAAGGCAAGCAAAGGCUCCAAAGUCUCAAAGCCUCCGUGAUGGCGAGACAUGAAGCCAAGCUCGCCAGAAUCUGCUCGACCAUGUAAAGGCGAGCAGAGAACAAAAAUCCCAAGAAAGUUUCUAAGGCACGCAAAAGACUUCAAAGUCUCAAAGUCUGCUCGAUGGCGAGACAAGAAGUCAAGCUUGCCAGAAUCUGCUCAACCAUGUGAAGGCAAGCAGAAAGUUAAAAAAAAAAAAAGUGUACUUCAAGUAAAAGGCUUAUAGUCUCUAAACCUCCUCGCAGUGAGACGAAGUCAAAGUUUGCCUGCUCUUGCCCGACCAAGAUUAGGCGAGCAAGAGUUAUAUGAGUGAAAAAUAUUCUAAAGCAGAUAAAUGACUGAGUCUCAAAACCUACUUCAGGUGAGAUAAAUACGUGAACUUAUGAAACCUGCUUUACAUAAUUAUGCAAGUAGGAAAAUGGUAUAUUUAAAGGCAUGUAAAAGUUUAAAACUUGAAAUUUUUUGCUAAUAGUAAGGUUAAUUUUAGCAAUCCCGAGCCGAUUUAUGCCAACCACAUCGAGGUCACUUUAAAAUUCAUAUAGUUUCCAGUCUUGAUUCGUUAAAACUCUCAACAUUAGAAACUGGGGGACUGGUGUUUGGUAACGGAAAAAGGAGAAAAAAAUGGAGAGUAGAGGCAUUACUUUUAUCUCAUCCUUAACUUCCGUAAGUGGAGGAGAACAAAGGGGAAAAGAGGGGAGUGGGGCGUGACCUUAAAAGGAGGAUUUAUUUAUUUUUUCGGGGUCUGCAAGGCAUCUUUUUCUCUCUUCUUCUCAUGGAAAAUCCUUUCUUUUACACUCUAUUUCAUUUUUCUGCAAAUUACUCAAAAAACUUUUGGUUUUUAAGGCAAUUUUUAUUAAGCCAUAUGAGUGGUGGCACAAGUUUUUUGGCAAAGGCCCAGAAACUGACUUGAGCAUCGGAGGGUUCACGCCGGAAAAACUUCUGGCGCCUCUGACCGUCUUCUAUGAUUUCAGGUAUUCACAAGUUAAUCGCUAGUGGUUGCAGGACAUCUUGACAAUUGACCAAUCGAUUCUCUACCAAAUAAAUCUAAUGCUAGUGUAGAAGUCUGAUAUUAAGUCGCUAAUAGACUAGAUCAGAUUUGGGCAUCAACAGUAGGAUGCCUGAUAAAAGAUAAAGCAAAAGCUUGAAUGAAGAAUGACAUUUUUAGAAAGAAACUAAUGUGCAAUGUAAUAAUCAAAGUAAGAUCAAUAAUGACUUGAUCAGUUAUGCUUUUUAUUAUUUCAUUUAUUCUAUCCUAUCCCUACUAAUAUGCUCUAUAAGCCAAUAUUCUUCUAAAAUUAUUCUAGCACAACAUGUAUUUAUUCGUUAAAAACUUCAACUUAAUUAUUUCAUUACAGGAUAUGAAACACUGAGCCAUAAACUAGUGCUUUCUUCAACUUAAUUAUUCUCACUGCAUAUUUUUUAAGGCUUCGUCUUUUGUCUUGAUUCUGGACUUCAAAAUUAAAUCUUAAAAAUCGGGUAUAAUAGGGGUACGUGAUUAAGUCUUCCUCUUUUGCAAUUCACUGUUAUUACUCUCAUCAAUUCAUUCUUUUGAUAGCAGUUCUUACUUAAUAUCCGAAGCGAAUAGAGGAGGUCAUCGACUCUCUGAUCCCAUAUAAAUAAAGAGGUAUACAUGUUCUAAAUCCUUUAAUAAUAUCCUUUAAUAGCAGUUCUUACUUAGUUUUCAUCUACUUUCCAAGAAAAAAUUUCUCUGGUUUGUUUUAAUCUUGUCAUUGGUUUUGCUUGAGUUUCAAAUUAUUGUUCAUUGUUAAAGUCUGUGAUCUUAUUAUAUGGCUUUAGUUAAUUAAAAAAAAAGUCUGGGAUUUUAUUCAGACCCUUGAAACCUUUCAGUUAAUAGCAAAAACUCUAAUCCAUGAGCCCGGGGGGGGGGGGGGGGGGGGGGGGGGGGGGGGGGGGGGGGAAGAAAAAAGAAGAAGAAAGAAUUCCCUGUUUAAAUAUCAGUUGGUUAAAUGUUGUGUGUUUGCUGUCUUUUACUUGUUUGUUUGUUUUUCAUUUUAUUAGAUUUGCUUUUUACUUGAAGAUUAAAGAUGAGUAAGAAUUUUUUUUUUCUUUUCUGAAGCAGCCUACAAAUUUUAGAAUAGGGCUAAGAGUAAUUACAAAUUCAAUUAACCACAAAAAGUUAUUUAUAUUUAUCGCUUGUAAAAUUAAGUUUAUCAUCCCAAAUAGAGUUGUUUGCAUUAGAAGUUUUCUAGCAUUCAUGAGCUUUAUCAUCAUAUCACAAGAUUGCCUGAAAAACAAGAUAAAUCAAUUUGAGCAACUUGCUCUCUAUUGAUUUUUUUUUUUUUUUUUGCCUGAAAUACUAGGGAAAAUAUUAUAUAAGAACAAGAGUUAGAUGAAAAAAAAGUUAAAACAAGUUUUCUGUGUUUUCAUUCCCCCUGUUUUUUUGUUUGGUGAUUGAAAAUUUUAUAUCUAAAUUUUUAUGACUUCCCGUUGGGAUUUUAUUAAAUAAAAAAGAAUAUGUAAUUCUAAAUUUACCCUUACGCAUUGAGUGAUUAUUAUUACGUUCUCUUAAUAUUUGUUGGUGCAAUUUUGUGUGAUGUGAAUUUUAUGUUUCUGUUAACAUAAACCAAUUUGGAAAUAAGGCCACGUCGAACAAAUGAAACAACAAAAAAGCAUCGUUGGCAAUACAAAAUCAAACUUUAUUAUUAAUCAUUAUUUUGUUUUUGAAUAUGUAUAAAUCAAAUCAUAUACUGUUGAUCUUACUUUGAUAAUUUGGUGCUUAGUUUCUCUCAAAAAUGCUUUUAUAAAAGUUUUGGUCUUCAAUCAUUCAUCCAAGCUUUUGCUGAUCUUUUAUUAGGCAUAUACAUCGUGCUGUCACUUAAUAUUCAUUUCAAUUUCACAGUACACAAGCAACGUCUAUGCCAAAAUCAUUAAAGCACAAGCGGUAUUUAUUCCAUGAAAACUUUAUGAUUUCUUCAACUUAAUUGGGUCGAACAACAUUUUUUAAAAUACUUUUAUCACACUGCAUGCUUUGUUAAACCUCCGUCUUUUGGUAUUGAUUCUAACUUGAAAUUAAAUCUUUAAGUCUUUACAAGUUUAUUUCUUCAUGAAAGAAGUCAAUAAUCAAGUGCGUGUGAAUUAAACAAAAAAAAAAAAAAAGAUCAGUGAGAAAAGCCCUUUUUCUAAGGCAACCUACUGAUUUGAGAAUAGGACUCAACCACAAGAAAAUAUUUACGUUUGCUUUUAAGGAGUACAUGAUAGCUAUUAAACUUAAUUCAAAUUUAGUCAAUCAUCAAUCAACCAAUCCAACUAGUUCAAGUACAGAGUCAAUUGAACAAAUUCAUCACUUGCGUAAUUAAGCUUAUCUUCCGAAAUUGAGUUGUUUCCAUUAGAAAAUUUCCCGCAGUCACGAGUUACAAUCAUCAAAACAAGAUUAUUUAUAUAAGAACAAGAGUUAAAGGGAAAAAAAAAUGGUAAAGCAAGAUUCCUCUAUUUCCGUUCCCCUAUUUUUUUUUUUUUUUUUUUUUGUCUGGUGACUUAAAAUUUCAUAUCUAAAUUUUUAUAAUUUUCCAUCGACGUUUAUAUUUAAAUAAAGAAUUACAAAAAAAAAAAUUCUAAAUUUAUGCAUUGAAUGGUUAUUGUUAUGCUCUCUUAAAAUUGGGUACAAUAUCAUUUUCAUAGCGAAUAGAGUUAUUGACCACUUUGUUAAAAAUGAACAUGUUAUGUUUAUACGAAUAAAACAAAACACGGGGUGCACGCUUAAGUCUUGUUCUUUUACAAUUCAUUUGUAUUACUUACUCUGAUGAAAUCUUUACUCUGUUAGGAAAUUGGUGGGUGAAGCAGACACGCAGAUAAAGUGAAAUUGGGAAAAAAAUAAAGAACAAGCACAAAAAAUGGACACAAGAAAUUACGUGGUUCAGCUUUUAGCCUACGUCCACGGGCGAAAACAGGAGGAAAAUAUUUUACUAGUAAAAAUGAUUUAUAAGUAUUGUGGUAUUUUAGCUUACUACCCAAAAUCCUAAUACACUCAAACUCUCAAAUCACUAGACUCUUAAAAUCACUCUUUAAAUAAAGAAAAGAACUGAAGAACUCGAUGAUUUACAAAUGAAGGGAGCCAGCGGUUUUAUAGCCAAAAUUAGCUACCGUUCAUUUAAUAUUUAAUUAUUAUUAUUAUUUUAUUAAUUUUCCUUUUCUUUUCCUUCUUCGGUCUGACAUCUCUUUUUCUUCUCUCUUUCUUCUUUUUCUUCUUUCUCUUUUGUUUCUUUCCUUGGGCGGCAUCUACAUGGCCUUUAAUUUCCUUCAAUUUGGGUGGCCAUUUUGAAAUAUGUUAAUGAUGCUAAACCGCCCAUGACUUUGACAUUCUCCCACUUGGAGAUUAGAUUGAGAAUCAAUCAAUCUCCACAACAUCCUUUCUGCUUCGCCAUAAUCAUGUUGCCUACAUUUCUGCUAGGCCACAAGAGGAUCUACUCCAGAUAAACUUGUCAGCAUUUAUCGGCUUAGCCAAAACAUCUGCUAGGUUCUCCUUCGUAUGGAUUUUCUGUAAAUCCACAUUUCCAUCUUCCACUACUUCUCGAACGAAGUGAUACUGAACUCCUAUAUGCUUUGUCCUGGAAUAAAAGGCUGGAUUUCUUGCAAUGUGAAAGGCACUCUGACUGUCACAAAACACAGAAAUUUGCUCUUGUUUGUGCCCGAGCUCCUCCAAUAAUCUUUGUAUCCAAAUAGCUUCCUCGCAAGCUUGUGUAGCUGCCAUGUAUUCUGCUUCUAUUGUAGAUAAAGCCACAACAGUCUGCAGUUUCGAAACCCAGCUUACAGCUGCUCCCGCAAGUAUAAACACAUAACCAGUAGUGGAUUUUCUUUUAUCAAGAUCUCUUGCAAUCUGAUCCUCCGUAACAUAAUGCAACAUCUGAGGUUCAUUUGAUGUAUCUCAGAAUCCUCUUCACAACUAUCCAAUGCUCUCCACCGGGAUUCGCCAUGUAUCGACUGACUGCUCUCACUGCUUGUGCAAUGUCUGGUCUAGUACAUAUCAUAGCGAACAUUAAACUUCCCACUACUGAUGCAUACAGUACUCGAGACAUCUCCUUCCUCUCUGCUUCAUUGCUAGGACACAUACUUGAGGAUAAUUUGAAAUUAACAGGAAGUGGGGUAGAAAUUGACUUACAAUCUUGCAUGUUGAAGCGCCACAAGAUUUUCUUCAAGUAAUUCUUCUGCGAAAGCCAAAUCUUCCUGUUAUUUAUGUCUCGGUGAAUUUGCAUUCCUAGAAUCUUGUUUGCUGGUCCCAAGUCCUUUAUUUCAAACUCCCUAGCCAACUGUGCCUUCAAUUCUUGGAUUCGAUCUUUGUUAGGGCCUGCUACCAACAUGUCAUCCACAUACAACAGUAAAAUAAUGAAAUCAUUAUCUUCAAACCUUUUAUAAUAUGCACAAUGGUAUGAACUGAGUCUGUUGUAUCCAAGGCUCAUGAUAAAGGAAUCAAAUCUCUUAUACCAACACCUCGGCGCCUGUUUGAGACCGUAUAAAGAUUUGUUCAACCUGCAAACCAAGUUCUCUUUUCCCGUUUCUGCAAAACCUUCUGGUUGGAGCAUAUAUAUUUCUUCUUCAAGUUCUCCAUGAAGAAAUGUAGUUUUCACAUCUAACUGCUUUAAAUGUAGGUCAAAUGUAGCACACAUUGCCAAGACUACUCUGACUGUCGUGAGUCAAACCAUCGGCGAAAAUAUCUCGUUGAAGUCAAUACCUUCUUUCUGAGCAUAUCCUUUCACCACUAAUCUCGCACGAUACCGCUCUACUUGGUCAUUGCCUUCACGUUUGAUCUUGUAGACCCAUUUGUUUCCAAUGGCUUUUCUUCCACGUGGUAGUGGUACAAGUUCUCAUGUCUUGUUAUUAUGUAGAGCUUCAAUUUCUUCCUGCAUUGCUGUCAUCCACAAAGCAACAUCUGAGCUUUCUAAAGCUUCAUGGAAAGUUAAAGGCUCUCUAUCCUCUGUUAGAAGACAGUAUGCAACGUUGAUCUCUGUAACAUACUCCGAGUGCCACAUUGGCGGUCGUCUCUCACGAGUUGACCGACGAACUUCUGGAGCCUCGGACUCGACUAGUUUUUGUUUCUCGUGCUCUGGUUCUGCUUCAAAAGAAUCUGAAUCUUCUGGAUUAUUUUCCACAUAUACCUGUACAGUUUCUGACUUUUCUUUUACACUACUAUCAUCUUCAUUUUUCCUUUGCAGUUGAUCUUCUAUGAAGAUAACAUCUCUGCUGAUAACGAUCUUGUGGGCAGUGGGGUCUCACAGACGAUACCCCUUUACUCCAUCAGCAUAUCUCAAGAAGAUACAUCUUCUAGAUUUUGGAUCCAGCUUUGUUCUUUCUUGGGCAUUGUACAUCACGUACACAAGACAUUUAAAUGCAUGUAGGUAGGAAUAAUCAGCUGGCUUUCCAGUCCACAUCUCCAUCGUUGUCUUUAGCCCAAUAGCUGUAGAUGGCAACCGAUUUACUAUAUAACAAGCAGUUUUGGCUGCUUCUGCCCAGAAUGAAUUAGGUAGACCAGCAGUCCUCAACAUAGCUCUUAUUCUUUCUGUAAGAGUUCUAUUCAUCCGCUUCGCCACUCCGUUUUGUUGAGGAGUGUAUGCUACAGUGAACUGUCUCUGAAUACCUUCUUGCUUACAGAAAGCAAGAAACUCGCCGUCUGUAUACUCUCCACCAUUAUCCGUCCUCAAGCACUUAAUCUUUUUAGCAGAUUCAAGUUUCACCCGCGCUUUGUAUUCUUUAAACACUGGAAAUACAUCUGACUUUUUCUUAAUUAGAUACACCCAACAUCUUCUGGAAUAAUUAUCAAUGAAAGUCGCCAUGUACUUUGCACCUCCCAUGGAUAUAUCCGGUGAUUUCCAAACAUCAGAAUGAAUCAAGUCUAGAAUAUAUUUACUUCUAGAAUAGAUCUACUAAAUUUUAAUCUAUGCUGCUUACUGGUAACAUAAUGCUCGCAAAAAGGUAAACUUACCGAUUUAAGCCCUGGAAGUAAUUUUCGCUCAGAGAGAAUCUUCAAACAUUGUUCCGACAUGUGGCCAAGUUUGAGAUGCCACAUCAUCAUUAACUCUUCUCCAUUUGAUGCGACACAUGCAUCAGCCUCCUGUAGUGACUCUCCUUUAAGCAUGAAUAGAUUAGCACCGAUCUUUUCUGCCUUCAUCAAUACAAGCUCUCCUUUAACAAUCUUCAUAAUUUCAUUCUCCACAUGAGUUUUGCACCCAUAACUGCCUAUUUGUCCCAAAGACAAUAGAUUUUUCUUCAGGUCAUUGACAUGUCGUACCUCCCCAAUUGUGCGAAUUGUACCAUCAAAUAUUUUUAUUUUGAUAGUACAAAUACCAGCGAUCUCCAAGGCAUGAUCAUCUCCCAUAUAUACAGAUCCUCCUGAGAUAGGUUCAUAUGUCUAGAACCAUUCUCUCCGAGAGGUCAUGUGCCAGGUAGCUCCUGAGUCUAUAAACCAGACAUCAGAUAGUCGUUUUCUGCCUUCUGAAAUAGUUAUUGCCCCAGUGUAAAGAAUUUCGCUAUCAUCCGAGGUACUUGCUACACACCCCUGAGCAUUUGAUGACUCAGGUUCUUUAUCCUCUUUUCUCUUCUAGUUACUCCAACACUCUUUCUUGACGUGUCCUUUCUUGCCACAGUUGUAGCAUUUAACAUUAUUCUUACUUCUGGAUUUUGAUUUACCAUGAUUUUGACUCCCACUAGGGCCACGUUCCGUUGAUCUCCCUCUCGUCACCGAUAGCACCUCCGCUUGCUGCGAAAUUGCUUGUCUGUUUUCCUUAUUUUUCCGCCUGCUCUCCUCAUUUAAUAUGAAAGCUGCAACAUCGUCGAAAACUAGACUAUCCGCUGGAUUGUUGUUCGUUAGGUUGAUGAUGAGUUGAUCAUACGAAUUUGGUAGACUUUGAAGUACAAGCUCUGCAUGUUUAUUCUCCUCUAUAUUAUGACCCAACGUUGUGAGUUGUGAAAAUAGAGUCUUCAAGGUGUUGAUGUGGUCGAUCACCAUUGUAGAUUCCACCAUUUGAAGAGUAUAGAGUUUCCUCUUUAAGAAGAUUUUGUUGUGUAGUGACUUAGCCUCAUACAAUUUUGUGAGAGUAUCCCAUAUUUCCUUCGCUGUAUUUUUCUCUGCUACACUAGAUAAUACUCCAUCUGCAAGUGCCAAGUGUAGAUCAGAAAUGGCGUUGCCAUCUAUCUCGUUCCACUUGUCAUCAGUUAUCUCCAAAAGCCUUUCUCCAAUUACUGCUAAGCAAUUAUUUUUUCUCAAAACAGCUUUCAUCUUCAUUUUCCACAAUAAAAAAUUGUUUCCGUUAAAUUUCUCAAUUUCAUACUUUGCCGCCAUUUUAUUGAUAAAUACCGCACACAAGCAAGUGUACCACCUUGAAUAGUUGUGAGUAUGUGUGAGAAUGCACAACAGGAAAGUUCCCAGGAAACACUGGAGGGGUCACAAUGGUCCCACUUAAAACCCAGACUCCUUAAGUUCUUAUCGCCUUUGUGAUAGAACUUUCAUAGACAUGUACAAAACCACACAGUUGUUUUACUCACACCAUUAUUCCCUGCUUUGCACCGCAAAAUUCUUGGAUUGCUCCCACCGUUUUACGUGAAUAGUACCGUAUACGUGAACAGUGCCGUAUACGUGAAUAGUACCCCUUACGUGAACAGUACCCGACUCCAAAAAAUACAACUAAUAGCUCUGAUUCCACUAUUACAAAAUUGGUGAGUGAAGCAGACACGCAACUAAAGUGAAAUUGGAAGAAAAUAAAGAACAAGUACAAAAAAUGGACACAAAAAAUUACGUGGUUCAGCUUUUAGCCUACGUUCACAGGUGAAAACAGAAGGAAAAUAUUUUACUAGUGAAAAGAAGUUACAAGUAUUGUGGUAUUUUAGCUCACUACCCAAAAUCCCAAUACACCUAAACUCUCAAAUCACUAGACUCUUAAAAUCACUCUCUAAAUAAAGAAAAGAACUAAAGAACUAGAUGAUUUACAAAUGAAGGGAGCUAGCGGUUUUAUAGCCAAAAUUAGCUACUAUUCAUUUAAUAUUUAAUUAUUAUUAUUAUUAUUUUAUUAAUUUUUCUUUUCUUUUCCUUCUUCGGCCCGACAUCUCUUUUUCUUCUCUCUUUCUUCUUUUUCUUCUUUCUCUUUUGUUUCUUUCCUUGGGCGGCAUCUACUUAGGCCUUUAAUUUCCUUCAAUUUGGGUGGCCAUUUUGAAAUAUGUUAAUGGUGCCAAACCGCCCAUGACUUUGACAUACUCACAUUCCUUUGCAGUUGACAUUGAUCUUUUGCUUAUUCUUAUAUGUUCAAGGCCAAUAGUGAAGCUCCUUUCAAAAAAUAAAAAUAAAAAUAAAAUAGAGAAAUUGUGGGCUUUUAUUCAGACCCCUGAAACCUUUCUAAUAAUAUAAAAACUCUAAUCCUUGAGCAAAAGGUUAAAAAAAAAAAGAAUUCUCUGUUUAAAUAUCAGUUGGCUUAAGAUCAAUGUUGUUUGCCUCCUGUCUUUUCUUUGUUUUGUUUGUUUGUUUGUCAUUUUAUUAGAUUUGCUUUGUAUCUAAUUUUACUUGGAGAUUAAAGAUGAGUGAGAACUGCCCUUUCUUCUGAAGCAACCUACAAAUUUUAGAAUAGGGCCCAGAGUAUUAAAGAUUCAAUUAACCACAAAAAGUUAUUUACUUGCAUCACUUGCAAACUUAAGCUUAUCAUCCCAAAUUGAGCUGUUUGCAUUAGAAAUUUUCAUGCAUUCACGAGCAAUAUCAUCAUGUCACAAGAUAGCCUGAAAAGCAAGUUUCCUCUGUUUUCGUUCCUUUGUUUUCAUUCCCCUGUUUAUUGAUUUUUGUUUUUUUUUGGCCGGAAAUUAAGAAGAAAAAAUUGGUAAAACAAGUUGCCUCUGUUUUCAUUCCCCUGUUUUUUGUGGAAAGAAUAAAUCAAACUUUAUUUUUUUUUUAAUUUUAUAUUUUGGUUUUUGAAUAUGCAUAAAUCAAAUCAUAUAUUAUUGAUCUUACUUCGAUUAUUUGCUGUUUAGUUUCUCUCUUAAAUGCUUUUUGUGUGUUUCCGGUAUUUGCUUUUAUAGAAGUUUUAGUCCCGAAUCAUUCGUUGCAAUUCCGAUAGGAAUUGAGUAAGGCCUUCACCUUAAAACGGGGCUCAGGGGAGAGGGGAACCCCUCCCAAGGAUUUGCUUUAUGUUUUAUUAGGCAUAUACAUUGCUCUGUCAAUCAAUAUUCAUUUCAAUUUCACAGUACACAAGCAAUGUAUAUACCAAAAUUAUUCUAUGAAAACUUAAUUAUUUCUUUAGAAUAUAUGAAAACGUAGAGUUGUGAACUAGUGCUUUCUUCUUCAACAUGCGUCAACAGGGCAACAAUAACCAAAUACAUGAUAUAGAAAAGCGGUGCAUGACUAAUUCUUUUUCUUUUGCUUUAUGCACUAGUUUUGCAUUGUUUACUUCCCUUAAUAUCGAUGUUUUGCACUUAAUAAUAAUGUUUUAAUUGUGUUUUACUUUUGUAGGUGCAAUUCUAUUGAUUGGUGAUAAAAUUGAGCUAAAAGAUGAUGUUUAAGGAGGAUUGUUCUCUUGGAGAAAUUAUGAGCGUCAGAAGAACUUUGUUGAUAAGGCGUGGGCGCGUGCUGUCAACUGCGGACCUGCAGUUUUUAGUUUAACGUGUUUUGUAUUUUUGGUUAUUUUUGUAAUUACGAAUUUAAUAUUUCAGAUAUUAGUAUUUUAUUUUAAAUAGAAUUCUAAAAGAGAAGAGAGAGAGAGUAUUUAAGGGAGGAAUCUAUUGUGAAAAAGGGGGGAUUUGGAUUGGAGAAAAAGAAAGAAACCCUAGAUCUUAAUUUUUCUCUUCUCUCUAUGAAGAACUAAACCUAUUUUUCUGGUUGAAGGAUAAUGAAGCUUUGAUUCAUCACUACUGUGAGAUCUUUCUUGUGCUUUAAUUGUUUUAUUGCUUUUUGGGUAUUUGUUUAUUCUCUGAAUUAUUUUCAUGAUUAUGUUUGUUAAUUAGGUAAUUGGCCACUAUUUAAUUAUCAACUUAAUCUAUUGUCAAUUAAAGGAUUCAUCGUAUGAAGAAUUUAAUGUUUGUGACAAAUAACAUAGCAGAAAGUUGUGUUGUGAGAAUAAACAAUCUAAUUUAAAUGAAUCAUCAUAUGUGUUGAUUAGGAUUUGGGUCUCUCUGGUUUUUCAGGCUGUCAAUUGAUUAAAUCCUAUGAUCGUAUCUAGGGUUGUCUAUUGAUUAGGGAAAUAACCAACGGUCGUACCUUGGUUAUCGACUAGUUAAGGAGAGAUUGGCUAUUAGAGGGUCUCAGUAGCUAUAACCGGUCUAUUCAUAAGUAAUAAUAAUCUAUAUUUGAAUCAAUGAUCAGUAGUCGAAUCAAGCUGAGUUAAUUCCUUCAACCAGAGCUUUCUCCAAUUUGAAUUACAACUUUAAUUUACAUUCUCGUUAUUUUAAUUUGAUUUUUAUUAUUGUCAACAAUUCCCCCAUUUUACGUUUUACGUUUCAAAAGGAUUUAAAUAAUUACCGAUCUCUGUGGACACGACCCUGCUCAAUCACUAUACACAAUUUAUUUAGAGUAUGAAUUUAUUUUUGUUGGCUUCGACACCCAUCACAGGUCAUUGUUAUUGCUCUCAUCAACUCUUUUCUCACACAUUCCUCAGCAGUUACCUGUGAUCUUUUUCCUCUUUCAACUUGUUCUUAAAUAGAGAAGCUCACCAACUCUCUAAUCCCAGAUAAUUAAAGAGGUGCACGUUUUCUAAAUCCUUGACAUCUGCUCUUUCAUAAGUUCCAUCUACUUUCCAAGAAAAAAUUUUCUCUGGUUUGUUUUAAUAUUGUAACUUAUUUUGCAUGAGUUUUAAGUCAGUAUUCAUUGUUAAAGCCUGUGCUCUUAUUAUUUCUUUUGGUUAAUUUGCAUGCUCUUCCCCCCCCCCCCCCCCCCCCCGCCCCCGCGGCGGCGCCCCCCCAAAAAAAAAGUUUAUAGGCUUUUACUCAGACCCUUGAAACCUUUACUGAUAAUACCAAAAACUCUAAUCCUUCAACAAAAGAAAGCAAGAAAAAAAGGUCCUAAGUUUAUUGUCUUUUAUUUGGAUUUGUACCAAAAACUCUGAUCUGUUGGCUUUGUAUCAGUAUUGCUUGUUUGUUGUCUUUUAUUUCAUUAUUUGUAUCUAAGUUUAUUUCAAGAUUACAGAUCAGCAGGAAAAGCCCUUUUUCUAAAGCUAACUAUACAGAUUUUAGAAUAGGGCUCAACCACAUGAAAAUAUUUACGUUGUAAUAUCUCAUAUUAAUAAUCUAAAAGCAACCAAUCCAACAAGUUCAAAUUCAGUCAAUCAUAAAUCAACCAAUCCAACGAGUUCAAAUUCAUCACUUGCAAAAUUAAGUUUUCUUCCGAAAUUGAGUUGUUUCCAUUAGAAAUUUUCCCGCAGUCACGAGUUACAAUCAUCAAAACAAGAUUACUUGAUGCAUUAAUAAUCUUAUUAAAAAAAAUAUACCAACUGUUAAGGGUUAAAAAAAUUUAUUAAAUAAUUGCAUUAAUAUACCAACUGUUAAGGGUUAAAAAAAUGUGCCAUUUUGUAAUCCAUUUAAAUCAAAAUAGUAUGUUUAAUCGCAAAAAAAAUAACUACUGCCAUGAUGGAGCACAUAGAAUAAAAAUAAAACUUUUAGUUUUACUAAUCCUAAAUAUACCAAUUGUUAUCUCCAAAAAAGAAAAUUUUAUUUUUUAAAUUUUUAAAUCAUAUAUUAUACAAAUUUAACAUAUGUUCUAACAGUCGUCUGAUCCCUGCAGAUAUUAAUUGGGUUUAGGGUAAUCCUGUUUACAUAAAGAAUAUUGUUAAAUAAAUGUUUGUUAAUAUGGUUUCAGAUGAUGAUGAUGAGUUGCGACUGCCAAUCAUGCGUAAUAUCAUAAUAAUAUUAAAAACAAUUAUCCCAACAGGUUUCCCAGAAUAUGCUAUAUUAUUACAUAUUAAAGUUAAUUAUAAACUAAUAUAAAAAAAAAGCUCUGACAAAUAUUAUUUCUUGAAAAAUGAGAUGAUUCACCGCUGUUGUGUUUCAUGCUAAUUACUUUUCUCCGGAAAAAUAUUAUAAAUUAAAAUUUAACGAAAGUCUCAAUUUAUACGCUUAUAGCAUGUUCUAUAAUUUUUAUUUUUUAUAUAUAUAGUAUAAUUCAAGAAUUUAUACUGAGUAGAAGCAAAGAUCAAUCCCAUAUGUGGGUAACCAAAAUCCUUCAUAGAACAAGGCACUAUAAUAACCAAAACCAGCCCUUCGUUUUGGUGCCGAUUGAAAACAAUCAUAUUGUGAUUCGCAAAUUAAGUGAGAUUAGUGACCUCUCAACUCAAUCAAAUACUUGCCAAAUUCAUUUCUGAUCAUGCAUCUUACCCCCCCCCCCCCCCCCCCUCCUCUUUUUCGUGUAUAAAUUGAGCAUGGUGGCUUUGAAAAUUUUAAGAUUCUUGAUGAUUCCAAAAUGAGAAUAUCAAUUGUUAAGCCAAUAGUAGAUUAUUGACGUUUUAAAUUGAUAAAUAAACACAACUCUGAUUUUAAAAAGUUAUGAUAACAACUUUAAAAAUUUAAAUGUGGAUAUAAAAUCACCCAUAAUAUAACGAUAUGAGAUUGAAAUAAUUUAUUUAAAUAUAAAUCAUCCGAUGUAAUGAAUACAAAACCAACCAUCAAUUUAAAUUUUUAAAUAAUGACAUUGACAUGUGCUAUAAAUGAGUUCCAGGAAAUAAAUAUUAAUGUAAAUGAUAGCAACAGCUUCAUCCAUUAAUAUAAUUCUACUAUUAAGCAUGAAAUAUAUGACCAUCAACUUACAAUUGUAAUCAUUAAACUAGAAAUCAUUGAGUAUUACAUGAAAUCAUUAAUAUUGAACCUAAAAGAUAUAUGAAACUAAUGUUAAUAUGAAAUCUAGGACCAUUAACUUAAAAUUGUAAUUAGGAAAUAAAGCUUUACAUGAAAUCACUGUCAUUGAGCUUGAUAAUUCUACCAUUAAACAUAAAAUUAAUGCAAAUAGGAAGCAUAAGACCAUCAACUCAAAAAUUGUAAUCAUCAAAUUUUGAAUACCACAAAUUAAAUUUACUCUAUCUUUGUAAUGAAUACAUUCUACAGCCUUAAAAAAUACAUAAAUAAAGGGUUAUUUUAGCAUUUAUACAAGUGUGUAAAGUAAAUGUUGACUUUUAAAGUUGAUUCAAUAUAUAUAAACAACAUUAUUGAAUCAUUAUCUUUUUUUUUAUAAUCAUUAUUAAUAAACAUACUAUUUUGAUUAAAAAAAUAAAAUAGUGGAGCUUAAAUAUGUCUAAAAAUUUCAAAAUUAGUAAUAGAAUCAGUAGCGGUUCGAUCUCUAGACAACUUAGGUGGUUGCUUAGAGCCCUACUUUACAAGAAAAUCCUAUAAGAUGAUUAUUUUGUAUAUAAAAGAGGAAAGUGAAUUUAAAAGUCAUUAUUAUGCAUCUAAUUUAUUAUUAUUUUGUAAUUAUCUUUUCUCAAAUAAACUACCGAGUUCCUAUAAAGUUUAUUUAAUGUAGUACUUAGUAGUUUUAAUUCCUACAAAACCGAUAAAUUAAUAGUUUCAAUCCUAUAAAUUCGAUAUUUCAUUGUUAGAAUUAACAACUUAUAAUUAAAAAGUUUUAUAUUCAUUUUAAACCUCUAUAAAAGCCCCACAUUUUAUUACUUAUCCAUUAAAUUUUUCUUCUAACAAUGAAGACAGCAUAUGUUCUUCGUUUUUGAGAGAAAGAAAGAGAGAGGGGAAAAAAAAUCUUGCUUCCUCUACUUUCCACUCAAAAAAAAAAAGAAAAAAUCUAAUAGUUUUAUUCUAUUCUCUAUGGCUAUUAGUCAUUACUCAAAUCUUCAAAUAAUUAAUAUAAAGAUAAAGUUAAUUUAUGAUUUCAUCUCAAAUUUCAAAUUUCAGAUUUUAUUUUUUAUUAUUCUCUUAAUUAAUUGUAUUAUUUAUGUGUUCUUAUUUCUUUUUAAUACAUUCUUUUAUUCAUCUACUAUUUUUUGUGUGCUUUUUUUUUUCUAUUGUGAAAUAAAUAACUAUAUCAAAAAACUUUAGAAAACAGAAGAAUAAAAAAAUUAAUUUAAUGUAGAAAAGAAGUAGUAUAAAAGAUGUAAUUUGAGUUAAAAAAAAGUAAAAAUAUUAUAAUUGAAUUAAAAUUUCAAGGAUUGACAAUAGUGUAAUAUAAUUUUAUUUAAUAAUUUUACAUUUUAGAGAGUGUUUAAAGAAUUGAUUUUCAAUAAAUAUUAUAUAACUAAUGAGUAAUGAUAUAACCACAAACUCUUGUACAAACUUAUUUUGUACAAACUGAUGUGGCAUGAUAAGAUUGGUUGAAUUAAAUAUCACUUGGCUCACGUGAUUUGUUUUUAUUAUUUUAUAUUUUCAUUCAACGAAUGAAUUAAUACCAUGUCAGUUUGUACAAGAGUUUGUGGCUGUAUCAUCACUCAUAACUAAUAUACAUAUUUUUUGUCCUAAAUUUUAAGAAAAACUAAUUAAAACCAUUUGCCUAAGGCCUCAAAUAUGGUUGAGCCAGCCCUGAAUAGAAUAUAAAAGUACAUGAUAAAUAUUUAAAUUAAAACUCGAUAAAAGGUUAACAAAAACACACAUGUUGUUUUUUAGUGAGUUUAAUUUUUUUUUUUUUUUGGGAACAAAUUCAAAACGACAUCAUUUUGGAUGUAUUUUCAUUGGGAUUUGGUUCUUCAAUUAUUUUUCUAAUAGCAGAUCUCAAGAUUGUGUGAUUACAUCACAGCUUAACUUUUACAGUGAUCGAUUCCAAUAGCUCUCUAGUUGAAAUUUAAAUUAAUUAAAUAAAAAAUAACACGGCCCUUAUCAAUUUGACGAUGGUAUGGUGUAAAAACAUCCUCUUGAAAAUUAUGAGUCAUCCAAAAAGAUUAAUUUUUUUGGGAUAUCUUGAAUGGAAGUAAACAUAAUUUUAUGUUUUAUAAAAAGGUAAAACAUUAAGUAAUUAAUAAUAUAUCAAUAUUAAUUAAUAAGUUAUUUACAUUAGGCAAUAUUAUACGUUUGUGAAUUUAUUGGUCAUUUGUUUUUGUACAAUUAUUUCAUGACAUUAUAACGAUAUGAGAAUGACGAUUCAAACUAUCUUGAAUAUUGGAUAAUUGUUUUUUAAUUAACAUUUUGGGGCUGAAUUCAAUCGUGCAUAUAGACAAUUUUAUCUAUUAAAAGAAUUAAUUAUUAUGUUAAAAUUUAUUUUGGAAUUUAAUGACGAAGAAACUGUUUCUUAACUGGAGCUAUGGCUUUGGCCACGAGCUCCUCUGGUGUUAGAUUAUGAACCGGAACUCCGGUUGAAUUCGGUUGUGGUGGCGGUGAGUCCGCCGGAAAAAUCCGGAACUCACUGAGUUCGGAUGCGGACUCGGCCAUUAUUGAAAUAAUGACUAACUAAUUUACUUAGGAAUAAAGACAGAAUUUGGGGGAGGGAAAUUACCAAGCCUUUAAAUUUUUAUAAGUAAAUAGAAAAAGAAAUUCAAGAUGGCCAAAAUUUUUUUGCUGUAUGAGACCCCAAUUAAAGCGGGCAAAUUCCACUCAAACUUUAAAAGUUAGUGUGAGUAUAUAGGUUUGAUUAUUUUAACUUAAAACUUUGACCUAAUUAAACACAAAUUCAUAAUCAUUGUACUUCCAGACAUCAAGCGUGUAAUCAAAAUUCAGUUACUUUUUGUCUUGCAUUAAUUUAAUUGACCAAUAUAUAUUUCUUAAAUAAAUAAUAAUAGUUUGUAUUUUAAUUAAUGUUCCACUAAUCAUUUAUUGUCUCAUAAAUGAUAAUAAAUAAAUUUAUUAUUAAUUAUUUACAUACUAUUCUUACAACUUGAUCAAUGAACAACAUAUAACAUGCCACAUAAAAUAUCAGAGUAACUAAGAUAUAAACUAUGUAUUUCUUGGUCGAAUUGAGUAUCCGUAGCAUUAAAUGUAAAUCACUAAUUACUGCAAAGAUCAAACUUAUAUUUAAACGAGAGAUUUAACAUUAACUAAUACCAAAUAUUGGCGUUCAAUUACAACUUAUGAAAUACUCAACAUAGGUAAAACCACAGAAUCAUACGAUUCAUACGGUUCGUAUAAGCCUUUCGAGGCUAAUGCAUGUGUAGGCUUGAAGACAUCAUUACUAAGAGGCGGCUAAUAAUAUUAUAAUAUAAAAUACUGCUACUCAUGCAACUGGGUAGGAAGGUUUAGUGGCAAUGCCACAGAGACCUUCAGGUGCUUCAACAUCUCUGAGAAUCCUCAUGUAGCCGGCCUCACCCCAGCUCUCCCCCCAUGAAUUCUUAAUUAACCAAUACUUCAUUCCAUCUUCAGUUGCCCCAAAUCCAACGAUAGCAACAGCAUGAGAACACUGAGUUCCACAUCCUCCGUUAAAAAUACCGCCUUUGUAACUCUGGAAGUCUGGUCCACUUCCUUCAAUGCAAAUUGAUACUGGCUGCAUGGCUACAGCUUGGAGUAAAGCCUGCUCAUCAUUGGGUUUUACAUCUUCAAAGUUACUAAUUUUAGCAGCUGCCUUGACCUGUGCGUCUUCACAAGUCCCUUGGACUUCCUUGUAUGGAUAAUCCGCUUCUGAGGCAAUACCCUGGUUUUUUAUAAUAUAUUUAAAGGCAUUGUCCAUCCAACCGCCACCGCAUCCACGGUUACCAUCUAUGGAGCAGUCUAGUAUUUGCUGCUCCGAAAGUGGAAUAAGAUUACCACUACUAAUCUCAGUCACCCCUUCCACCGCCGCCACAGUUGAAAAUGCCCAACAGUCUCCUGCAUCGUACAUAUUAAGGAAAAAAAAAAAAAAAAGGCUUGAUUAAGUUACAUGAAACAUGCCCCAGCAGGGGUUUGGCAGACGGUUGUCAAGCUGUUUUUAUUAAUUAGCUGAUGGUCAACUGAGUUUGAGUUCUGAAAGAGGUUGGAGGCUAAAUAAUCUAUUAUAGUUACUUCAUAAAUAUUUAGUAUACGAUUUACUUACCACAUUGACCUUGGUUCUUAAUAGGAGUGACAGCUCCUUUCUCUCUCCAGUCCAUGCUAGUUGGAACGUCAGUCAGGUUUUGAUACUUGAAGGAUGCUGUUGUGGAUUGCCGUGAUGAAGAUGACUGGCUUGGCACCCUGUAUCCUGUAUAUGAAGCACGAAACUCCUCAUUAGUUAAGUCUGAAAAUUCAUUGGUGCCUAACUUGUACGUCCGAUUCGCCUCCUCAUUGGCUUUCUCAAUGUAUUCAAGGUUUUCUUUGAAUAUCUUAAACCGCUUUUCCUUCUCCAGGUCGUCCUUGUAAGUGCGCCCAUGCUCAGCCAUCCAUUUUUCAUGCUUCUCAACAAUGGAUGGUUCAUGCAGCGACCGGCCGGCGACCGACACCAUUUUAGAUGAAUAAGUCACCAGAAUGAUCAUAGACAGGGCAAUGAUAUCAAAGCUUUUCCCCAUAAUAAUUGGUAGGUAUUUGCAAGUUGAACAAGGUUGUUGUUUUUUUUUUUUUUUUUUUCCCUUCAAAUUAUAGAGGCUAGCUAGCCAGCUGGGGGUAAGUUGUGAAUACUUGAAGCACGCAUUGCAGCUCUAUAUAUAGUACUUGUAGAUAGUGGAUUUGUGCUCUCAACAUGGGUCGCGUACAAUAUUUGCCUAAUGCAUGAGACGUAUGCGUUGCGUUAGUCGUGCCCCAUACUUCACGAUUUUCAAUCAAGCUAAUUAGUAUGCGAAACCGGACAACCAAGUUAUUAUCAGUUAUCGCCGUGAUUCGCGUACUUCGUGCUUUUGAGGCUUGCUAGCAAUGACUUGACUAGCUUUUAGCGAAGUUACAAAAAGAAUUAUGAACUAAUUUGUAGAUGGACUUUUAUCGAUGAGACUUGCGGCGACGUGGAAAACAUUGGUGUCAUUUUUUUUUUCUUUCAUAAAUCAACUUAAAAAAAGGAAAAUUGGAUAAUAAUGUGAACUCAUUUGGACGGAGUAAAAUAAUUCUUACAAAAUCUACAAUGCAUCUAGCUAGGAUGAACUUUUAUAUAUCUGCGAUAUUAUGAAGAAAUCAUUACUAAUAUGCAUUACAUAAUAUGGCAUAAAAUAUGACACUAAUACUAGAAUUUCUUCCUUUAAGUGCCAAUUUGGUAGUUUAUCUUAACCUGUCAGUGACAACUGUUGUUUCAAGUGCACUUUUUGAGUCUUUAUGCAUACUAUAAUAUAUAGGCUUCAAUGGGGUCUCCUCGUAACUUUCUUGCCUAUCACCUUGAAUAUAAUCAUAACAUCCCGCCAAGUUAAUUUUUUUAGACCAUAGCACGUCAAAAUCUUUAAUGGAUAUAUUACUAAUAGAAUAAUGGUCAAUAUUCUAUUUUUACAUACGGUUUAAGAUAUCUAAUAAAUUGAUAUGGAUUUAAUUUCCUAAAUAGCAAAUUAGUGAAUUAUCAUAACUUUUUAAAAACUUAAAUUUGAUGUUAAAGAAAAGGAUAUAUAUAUUAACUUAUUGAUAUAAAUAAUGCUAAGUAUAUAUAUAUUUGCAGCCAAAAGUUAAAUAUGGUACAACAAUAAAAAAAGAUACUUUACACACUCAGUUAUAAUAAAUUAAUAUUUAUAACGAUAAUAUGACCCAAUACCCAUAUUGACCCAAUUACUAUCAUAAUAUUGUAUUAGGAUAUUAAAAUUCCACAAUAAUGGAGAUGACAUAAAAUUUGUUUAUAAAAAUGUACAAUACAAUAUUUAAAUUUUUUGCGGCUGAGAAUCGUGAGAACAGUAUGGUCAUCACAAUUAAUUGAUUGUGAGGAGAAUAAAGAGACCAUUACCAUAAUAGCUAUGCAUAAUUCAAUGGCCCGAGAUGGAUUGGCGGAUGGAAUCAAGAAUAAUUUGAUUCAAACUUAAGAAUAAUACAUUAUACAGAAUUACAGAUUGAGAUUAAAUAUACUCUCUUGUUUUUAUAAACAUGUGCAAAAUGCAUGCUUUCUCUUUCAUCUCUGCUUCAAUCCCACUUUAGGGUUUGUUUGUCAAAAGUAUUGUUUUUGAAAAAUAGAUAUUGUUUAAAGCAAAUAAAAUAAAGAUCAUUAAAAAAAUAUAACAACAUAAUGUUUAAUUGAUAAUGAUUUUUGCCAGUCUUAUGAAGGACUACAAAACCGAAUACAAAAUGCCAAAAUUUUGUAACUAGGAAUCAUACCAAAUAACAUAUUAAUUUAAAAUUUAAUUCUUACUUUUAAUUCUUACUUUUAACAUCUAUAUAUGUAUACAUAGAUACACGGUGGGUCCCUCCGAGCAUCGGAUGAUUUUUCGGGCAACGGACAUCUCAUAGAGUUAAGAUCGUCAUCAUCAUCGUCAUUAUACGAAUACAUUACUUUGAAGGAGCUUAUGUUGGACUCCAAUUUUAGGGGUGGCGGCAUUGCCAUUAUAAAUUCAAUAAGAACCACAGUGGACAAUUGUUACAUUUCGCAUUUCACUACCGCUGGCAUUUCCAUCCAAGAUGGCCACGAAACGUAUAUAAGAAAUUCCUUCAUCGGCCAACACAUCAACAUCGGCGGGGAUGAUCGCGAAAAGGAUUUCUCCGGCAUCGGAAUAAACAUCACGGGAAACGACAACGCGGUCACUGAUGUUGUUAUAUUUUCAGCAUCAAUUGGAGUAAUGGUACAGGGGCAGGCCAAUAUGCUGACGGGAAUACACUGUUAUAAUAAGGCUACUGACUUGGGAGGUACCGGCAUUUACAUCCGGGCACCAGCAUUGAUAAUAAAUUUACUUAUUACAAUGGUUCUCCGUGAAAUCUCCUCAAUGGGAUUUUAUGAGUUGAAAAUAAUGAAUUAUCAAUAUAAGCAAAAAUAUAUUUUUCAAUAUACAACUUAAUUUGCUCUUAAAAUAUUUUAAUAAUAACAAAAAUAUUCAUAUAUUGCAACACACAGAACAAAUAUGAAAUGCAUGAUAAAAUUAUAUAUUUUAAAACUAGAUAAAAGAUUAAUUAGAAAAUUAUAAAUUAGAAUUAGGAAGACUUACAACUUAUGGUCAGUGUUGAAAGACUAAAUAAUUAAUUUUACUUGAAUAAAAAAUAAAAAGAUUAAAAACUGAUCCAUUAACCAUUAUACUAACAUUUUGUUAUGAUUAUUUUUUAUUUUAAUAUUUGUUCUCGUGUCUUUAAUAAAGUUUCAUGAAAUGUUAAUAACUAAUUAAAUAAUUUAUAAUUAAAAAUAUAAAUUAGGGACAGUAUUAAAUAUUUUAAAAUUACUGGAGUCAAUUUUAAAUUUUACAAUUCAGCUGGGACAUUUUUCAUAAAUAACAAAUAAAAUACAUAUUUUUAGUAUAAUUAUAAAAAAAAAAAUUAAAAGCCAGCUGGGGCCUGUGCCCCACCUCGUCCCACGCUGGCUCCGUCCCUGUUAUUCGUUCCCUCUCACAUUUCCGGCACCGGCAUCAUCCCUUCCCCUCUUCACCAAUACCCUCUAUUCGAAAUUACUGAAAUACUCUCCUCAUCUCCACCACUACCACCACCACCACCAUGUUGUCAUGCACAGUCAAAUGCUUCAAGGCCUUCAAAACCCCUUUCAACCCGGGAACCCAAAACCCGACCCGUUUGUGCAGUCAUCGACGUUAUGAUGGGCUGGACGGCUGAUGUUUUCAAGAAUUUUGAAGGUCCCAUUGUUGGGUUCUUCACUUCUGGUGCUUGUUCAGCAGCGUGGAGUGUGCCAUGUAGCAGGCUCGCAUCCAAGAUGUCAAACCGGGAGAGGCCCAUUUACUUCCUGGGUUACCCAAGGAUAUGGCUUUAUUCGAAUCGGAGCUUAAAUACGGGCCUCACGGGCCCCUUCCUCGUGGUCCACUACCUUUGCGAGGUGCGCCCGGUUCAGAGAAAAUGAGUCCAUCGAACCCCGUGAUCAACCACACUGGAUGAAGGAAGUGGAGGAAUGGAUGGCUUUGAUGUUCAACACCUGUGAUGAUCUUGAGGGACCAUUUAUUAAUCAUUUAGGGGAGAUUAUCAAUUUUCCCCCUAUUGUAAUCAAUAUAUACUAUUUACCUCCUUCCUGUUUUUAUAAUGACCAAAAACCCCUCCUGAUAACAUAAGUUUAUAAUAUUAUCCUUAUUUUCAACUACUCUUUUAUUUAUAUUUAUUAUAAAUUAAAUAAAUCACAUGAAUAUAAAUUAAAUAAAAAAUUAAGCAUUAAAAAUAACAAAUAUAUGUUUUGAUAUGAGCAAAAAAAUCAAUAAUAUAAUUUUUUCUUGAACUUAUUUAUUUUUUGAAAAUUUUCUUAUAAUAAAUAUAUAAGAAAAUUAUUAUAAAAUGAUAAAAAACUAUUAUAAGAAAACUUGAAUGACAAUUAAAAAUUUAUUAUAAGAUAAUUAAAAAAAUAUUUUGCCUAUUCUUUUUACAUUUAAUUUUAAAAUAUUAUAAAUGUUUAUUAUAAGAAAAUAUUCACAAAAUAAAUAAUUACAAGAAAAAAUUAUUAUUAAAUUUUUUGCUCAUAGUAAAACAUAUAUUUCUUGUUUUUAAUACUUAAUUAUUUAUUUAUUUUUUAUUCAUGUGAUUUAUUUUAUUUAUAAUAAAUAUAAAUAAAAGAGCAAUUAAAAAUAAAAGUAAUAUUAUAAACUUAUACUGUCAAGGGAAUUUUUGGCCAUUAUAAAAAUAGUAAAUGAAUAAAUGAUAUAUAUUGAUUAUAGUAGGGGAAAAUUGGCAAUCUCCCAUUAUUUAGUCAAUCGAAUGGGAAAGCCAAUGUGGGGAGUAGGCCCAUUAUUACUUGAACAAUUUUACAAAUGGGGCGGGUUCAGUGCUUCGUGAUCGUGAGAUGAGAACCAAUCGGUGGAGUUCUAACAUGAACGAAGAUGAGAUCAUUCAAUGGUUGGAUUUGAAAUCAUGAGGAUCUGUGUUAUAUGUGUCAUUUGGUAUCGAAGUGGGUCCAAGUUAGAUGAGCAUUUAGUACUAGCCAAUGCUUUAGAAGUAUCAAAUGAACCAUUUAUUUGGGUAAUUCAAACUGGUGCUGGUAGAUUGGAUCCUCCGUGUCAUUUAACUGGCUUAGACAGACCAGCAGAAGGCAAUUAUUUUCAUAGUGGUUUGGGUAGUAAAGCCAGUAAAAAGGGAUUGAUAAUAAAUGGAUGGGCGCCACAAUUAUUGAUAUUGAAUCAUCAAUCAAUGGGUGAAUUUUUAUCUCAUUGUGGAUGGAAUUCAAUGGUAGAAGCAAUUGGUGUGGGGUUCCAAUUUUAGCAUGGCCAAUUAGAGAUGAUCAACAUUACAAUGCCAAAUUGGUGAUCAAUCAUCUAAAGGUGGGGUACAUGAUUUCUAAUGAUCAAUCAAAAUCGAUUCAAAAGAAUGAUAUAGUGAUUGGUAUAGAAAAGCUUAUGAGUGAUCAAGAGAUUAAAAAACGAGCUCACAUGCUUCGCCGUAUAUUUUAUCAGGGCUUUCCUAUGAGUUAUGUGGCUUCUUUGAAUGCUUUCAAAGAUCUCAUUAGCCAGAAAUCAGUCUAACAAAAAUAAUUAUUGUGUAUAUUAGGCUUUUGUUACAUUGGCUUGGGUGUAAAUAAAUCUACUUUAUCAAGAACAGACAUCUCAGCACCUAAAUAAUGUUAGGAAAUUGAGUUUCAUCCCAAGAUCACUCCAAGCAAUUUGUCAAGCAACAAAUUAACAAAAAAUUUAAAUGGAGAAUACAACAAUCACACAACACAAGAUUUACGUGGAAAACUCUAAAUUCGGAGAAAAACCACAGCCGUUGUCAAGAGACAACCAGAGAAAAAAUAUUCACUAUAUGGAAAAUUAUUACAACCACACUCUCAUAAAUAAUUUUCUCUCACCCAAGCCCCAAAUACAUAAUUGCGAAAAAUAUUCCUUAACAAAGCAAACCCGUAAUACCCAUAUUGAGGAGCCAAAUGCUCCUUCAAUAUAAAUACAUGCUUAAGAAUAUUUCUCUCCCAUGUUGGAAGCUCUCAAUGCUUCUCUUACAUAUUCUUGCUUCUCAAAUUUUGGGAUUUCUUCUCUGGGAUACAAAAAUGAGAGGGAGAACCCCUCUAUUUAUAGCCAAACUUUGGCUUCAUUUUCUCCCUUUUCUUCUUUGCAUGGGCGGCACCCACCCAUUUUUUCUUGUUCAAUGAUGGUGGCUAACUUGGCCACCCACCAUCUUUGAAUUCAGAGAUGAUGGCUCAACCACCCAUCAUUUUGGCUUCUUUUUUUAAAAUCAAUUUUCAACAAUCUCUACCAUGAUUAAAAAAAAAAAAUUUCAUAGUCACUACUACAAAACAUUGUCUUCACCAAUAGUUAUAAUUCUCAAUAUAAAGAAUUAUCACACUACACCAUAAUGAGUAUACCACUUAGAAUCAACUAUUCUAAGAUUUUUCUCGGCACAUGUCAAAAUAUCCUGCUGAAAUUUAUAGUGCAAUUCUCAUGCUUGGUUUCAAUGAGAAUUCUUCAGCCAUGACAUAACUUUUCCACCACACACGUUGCAUUUAUACCAAGCCAAUGCCCUCGUGCAAACUUGUGGACCCCACUGAUAAUAACAUGUUCUCUUUCAUGGUAACUUGGAGAUCUACAUGCCAAAAGAACUAAUCCAAUCUCUUAUCAAAAACAAAUUCACCAUCUGCGAGAAAUAUCAGUAUUUCUUUUACUGAUUCUGGAGUAAUUUGUCGAGCCCGCUCCACCUUCUUGACAAUUUUCUUGAGGCGCCAAAAUUGUCCACACCUUCAAAUCUUUGUGCAUACCAGAUUGGAUACACCUUUGACUUGAAUUCUCCACAAGCCAACAAAAAAUCAUUCUCCCAUUAAUUUUUUAACAACAUCAAACUCCACCAAGUUUGAAAAAUACCAGCUACUGACAUAUUUGCUUCAUAAAUGACCCUAUACUCUUCACCACGGACUAUUUAGAUUGGCUCCCACUGCUUCACAUGAACAGUACCGUAUACACGAACAAUAUCAUAUACGUGAAAUAGUAAUGUCUACGUGAACAGUACCCCGACAUCAAAACUUCAAUCAAUGGCUCUGAUACCACUGUUAGGAAAUUGAGUUUCCUUCCAAGAUCACUCCAAGCAAUUUGUCAAGCAACAAAUUAACAAAAAAUUUAAAUGGAGAAUACAACAAUCACACAACACAAGAUUUACGUGGAAAACUCCAAAUCCGGAGAAAAACCACAGCCGUUGUCAAGAGACAACCAGAAAAAAAAUAUUCACUAUGUGGAAAAUUAUUACAACCACACUCUCAUAAAUAAUUUUCUCACCCAAGCCCCAAAUACAUAAUUGCGAGAAAUAUUCCUUAACAAAGCAAACCCGUAAUACCCAUAUUGAGGAGCCAAAUGCUCCUUCAAUAUAAAUACAUGCUUAAGAAUAUUUCUCUCCCAUGUUGGAAGCUCUCAAUGCUUCUCUUACAUAUUCUUGCUUCUCAAAUUUUGGGAUUUCUUCUCUGGGAUACAAAAAUGAGAGGGAGAACCCCUCUAUUUAUAGCCAAACUUUGGCUUCAUUUUCUCCCUUUUCUUCUUUGCAUGGGCGGCACCCACCCAUUUUUUCUUGUUCAAUGAUGGUGGCUAACUUGGCCACCCACCAUCUUUGAAUUCAGAGAUGAUGGCUCAACCACCCAUCAUUUUGGCUUCUUUUUUUAAAAUCAAUUUUCAACAAUCUCUACCAUGAUUAAAAAAAAAAAAUUUCAUAGUCACUACUACAAAACAUUGUCUUCACCAAUAGUUAUAAUUCUCAAUAUAAAGAAUUAUCACACUACACCAUAAUGAGUAUACCACUUAGAAUCAACUAUUCUAAGAUUUUUCUCGGCACAUGUCAAAAUAUCCUGCUGAAAUUUAUAGUGCAAUUCUCAUGCUUGGUUUCAAUGAGAAUUCUUCAGCCAUGACAUAACUUUUCCACCACACACGUUGCAUUUAUACCAAGCCAAUGCCCUCGUGCAAACUUGUGGACCCCACUGAUAAUAACAUGUUCUCUUUCAUGGUAACUUGGAGAUCUACAUGCCAAAAGAACUAAUCCAAUCUCUUAUCAAAAACAAAUUCACCAUCUGCGAGAAAUAUCAGUAUUUCUUUUACUGAUUCUGGAGUAAUUUGUCGAGCCCGCUCCACCUUCUUGACAAUUUUCUUGAGGCGCCAAAAUUGUCCACACCUUCAAAUCUUUGUGCAUACCAGAUUGGAUACACCUUUGACUUGAAUUCUCCACAAGCCAACAAAAAAUCAUUCUCCCAUUAAUUUUUUAACAACAUCAAACUCCACCAAGUUUGAAAAAUACCAGCUACUGACAUAUUUGCUUCAUAAAUGACCCUAUACUCUUCACCACGGACUAUUUAGAUUGGCUCCCACUGCUUCACAUGAACAGUACCGUAUACACGAACAAUAUCAUAUACGUGAAAUAGUAAUGUCUACGUGAACAGUACCCCGACAUCAAAACUUCAAUCAAUGGCUCUGAUACCACUGUUAGGAAAUUGAGUUUCCUUCCAAGAUCACUCCAAGCAAUUUGUCAAGCAACAAAUUAACAAAAAAUUUAAAUGGAGAAUACAACAAUCACACAACACAAGAUUUACGUGGAAAACUCCAAAUCCGGAGAAAAACCACAGCCGUUGUCAAGAGACAACCAGAAAAAAAAUAUUCACUAUGUGGAAAAUUAUUACAACCACACUCUCAUAAAUAAUUUUCUCACCCAAGCCCCAAAUACAUAAUUGCGAGAAAUAUUCCUUAACAAAGCAAACCCGUAAUACCCAUAUUGAGGAGCCAAAUGCUCCUUCAAUAUAAAUACAUGCUUAAGAAUAUUUCUCUCCCAUGUUGGAAGCUCUCAAUGCUUCUCUUACAUAUUCUUGCUUCUCAAAUUUUGGGAUUUCUUCUCUGGGAUACAAAAAUGAGAGGGAGAACCCCUCUAUUUAUAGCCAAACUUUGGCUUCAUUUUCUCCCUUUUCUUCAUUGCAUGGGCGGCACCCACCCAUUUUUUCUUGUUCAAUGAUGGUGGCUAACUUGGCCACCCACCAUCUUUGAAUUCAAAGAUGAUGGCUCAACCACCCAUCAUUUUGACUUCUUUUUUUAAAAUCAAUUUUCAACAAAUAAUAUGUAAGCUUUUGUUAAUUGACUGCACUCGAUCAUUAAAAGUCUUACAAAGCAUGUAAAGUAAAAAAAUGGCACAUCCUCCAUCCGAAAGCAUCUAAAAUAAAAAGAUGGCACAUCCUCCAUCCGAAGUUUUUUACCAUUCGGCUUAAAUAUAUAGUCUCAUUUUUGGUAAUAAGCUCACAACAUGCAUAGGGAAGUUUUUAAUAGAUCUUCAUUCCCGUGGAUGUUGUGAGCUUAUUACCAAAAAUGAGACUAUACAGGUGUGGGACAAACAAAAAGGGAAGUUUUUUUUCCAUUCGGCUAAAUUUUAAUGUCACGCAAAAUAAUAUGUGAUCUUGAAUUCAUUUUAAUAUGAUAUCAACAUACGUAGGAAAUUCGUGAAUCAAGAAAUUUUGCAUGCCAGAGUCAGAGGAACAAUUAAAUAGAAUGCUUUUUAAGACAACAAUCACUGAUGAUCAUGUUUGCACACCAUCGGAGAGUACUGAAUAUCUACUAUCAGUCCUAUCUAAUUGAAAAAUGUACUGGUAGUUCGAUGAGUUUGUUUCCAUAGAAGCUACUAAAUAAAGAAAGGGAAAAAGAGUGGCUACAAAAAGGAGGAAAGUGGGAGGAGCUGUAAGGCUUUCACGGCAAAUUGAUUGCCUUGUUGAUGCUGUGGAAAUGGAGGUCGAACUCAAGAAGCAGAUCAUGGUACUAAUGUUCUUGAAGAUCAAGAGAUGGAGAGAUUGAAAAAUAAUAGUGCUGCAAGUGGAUAAUAUUAUAGUUAUAUAUUUCUUUACACAUGUAUAUAAUAUUAUAUUUCUAUGAAUUACUUUAUUACAAUAGUUUUGCGUACAUAAAAGUUUAUAUAGAGAUUAAAUUUUUGCAUUUUCUUUUUUGCAGUUAAGUUUAUUAAUCAAUUCAAGUAUUUGUGUAUAUUACGGACUACAUAACAAAUUUUUUAGUUAAAUAUAUUAUAGUUAAUUUUUAUUGCAAAUUAAAAUAGUUAAUAAAAAAUUAUUUAAAUAUGUAAUCAAGAAAAUAGAAUACGCUCUUCAAAAAUCCAAUGAAUAAGAAAAAUUAUUUAAAUAAUAAUAUUCUAAAUAAAUUACAAAUAAGUAAAUGAGUACAUUUUUGUCAUUUGCACAUGAACAUUAUACUUUUAAUUUUCACUUACCAGAUUUAUAUAGUAGAUUAUUUAAAAAUUGAUUGUCAAAUAAUCAUCAUUUACCAAACACCCGGCUAAAUUAUUCAUAAAAUUAAUUUUCUGAUAAUCAAGGUAAAAAUUAAUUAUUGGGAAGUAAAAGAAAUUCCAAACAUACCCUCAAUCAAUUAUAAGAGGGUUUUUAAUUAAAGAUACCUUAAAAGUAGGGUAUUUAGUUAAAUAUAUCACAUGCUUGAAAAUUAUCUAGAUAUACCUUUUUAUGUGGUACAUUGUUUAAAAUAUCCUUAAAAAAAUAUAUAAAACACACACAACUCGUCUCUAACACUCUUUACUUCUCACUCUUUUUAACUCCACACAACGAAAACUCACUCCACACUCAAAAUCACUCACGAACAGCUAAUGCAUUGAGAUUUUAAUUUGCAACUGGGUGCAUUAUUCAUCCCAUGAAUAAGGUAUUUGAAAUUUUUUUAUUUUGUGUUAUUUAUUCAUUUAAUUGACAUUAUAUUAUUUUUAGGGUUUUGUUUGGUUUGUGAUAAACACUAAAGCAACUCAUAUUUCAUUACAUUUGCAUCAUAUGACUGUUAUUUGAUGGAUUUUAUAACUACAUUCGUUAAAACCUGAAGUUGUUGCCAAAUUUUUUUUCUGCACCCGACAUACACGACAUCAGUCUUGUAUGUAUGGAUUUACAUAACUGUAGUCGUGCAAAUGUGCAAAAGAUUCCAAUUAUCAUGACACUUUAUCAUUCUAUUGGUGCAAAAAAUAUUUUUUUUUUCACUAUAUAUAUCCUUUUACUAUUACUGGACUAUAGUCGUGUGUGUUAAUAAGUUACACAACUACUAUCGUGUACGUAUGAACUUACAUACUAUAAUUGUGUAUAUAUGUAAAAUGUUCCAAUUGUUAUCAGAUCCCAACAUUUUUUUAAGAAGAAAUAUGUCCUCUGAUUAUUUAUUGAGUCAUAUAUUUUUGCAACUUACACGACUUUUGUCAUGUAUGUAUGAAUUUACACGACAACAAUCGUGCAAGUUUGGAAGAUAUAGUAGCUGUUAUGACACCUACCAUUCGGUUAGUACAAAGAUUACAGUUUUUUUUACUAAAUAUAUCAUCUGACUGUUUAUAGAACUAUAGUUGUGUAUUUUAGCAAGUUACAUAACUAUUGUCGUGUAAACUACCAAUUACACGACGUGAGUCAUGUAAAUAGGCAGACAGAUCCACACUUCGUUAUAUGCAUUGCUUGAUUUUAUUUUUGUAUUUGUUGUAUAAUCAACCGUUGUAUUAUUACAGAAAAUGACUUCAGUACGUGUGCCUAUUAUGUUUUGUGGUGAAUGGAUUGAGCAAAACGGCCAUUAUAGAUUUAAUGAUACAAAGGCAAGAGGGAUCAUAGUGCCAUAUUCUACAACGUAUGCACAAUUGAUAGAAAUAGUAUCUCGGGUUAUUUAAUAGGCAACCAAAUUACCAGAGGCUUAUACAAUAUGGACCGAGUGUUUGGGUUGAAAAUGCAAAAAAAUUAUGAUGAUUGUUAAACAACUUCUAUUGUAUUAUGACUUAUUUACGAUUCAAAUAAGUAUUGGAUUUAUGUUGUUUGAUAGGCAACCAGACUACAGUUAGUUUCAUUUAUUUGAAAUUUAAUAUGUUAAAGUUUAUAUUGAUUGUGUCAUCAAUAUAAUGAAUGUUUUAGUUGAUUUUUUAUUCUGUGUCCACAUACCCGAGUACAAUCGUGUAUUUUGGCUGUUACAGAACUGGUCAUGUUUAUUUACAAAUACUCGACUGCAGUCGUGUAUCUGUGCAAAUACCUGACUGCAGUCGUGUAUUUUCCUAUAGAGAGCUAGUCAUAUUUAUUUGUAAAUACUCGACUGUAGUCGUGUAUCUGUGCAAAUACCCAACUACAGUCGAGUAUUUUCUUACAGAGAGCUGGUCAAAUAUAAUUAUAAAUACUCGAUUGCAGUCGUGUAUCUGUGUAAAUACCCGAAUGCAGUCGAGUAUUUUCUUAUAGAGAGCUGGUUAUGUACAAUUGUAAAUACUUGACUGUAGUCGUGUAUCUGUGUAAAUACCCAAUUGCAGUCGAGUAUUUUCUUACUGAGAGCUAGUCAUGUAUAUUUGUAAAUACUCGACUGCAGUCAUGUAUCCGUGCAAAUAGCUAAUUGCAGUCGUGUAUUUUCUUACAGAGUAUUCCCUGACCAUAUAUGGCAAUCCUGUUACAUCACAUAGAUUGUACAAACUAUCUUCACUAUCAUUAAUAUAGUUAACAAAGAAAUAAAACAUAUUAAUGAUGUCAAGUUAUCUUUAAUGACAUCAAAUAUCAACAACAUCCUCAUUAUAACUAUCACAUCUCAUGGUCCAAAAAUGACACACCAAUAAAGUUUUUAAGGGUAGUACACUACAAAGUUUUUUUCCAUGACCUAUGCCCAAAUAAUUUGACAACCAAGGCUUUUCGAAAUUGUAUAACAUGAUCUUGUUUGCAAUAUGAAUUGACAUCAAGUCCAUGGGUUAGGACCUCCAAGUACCGCAACAAAUUCUCCACAAUCACCACUAAAAAAAGUAAAAUAAAUCAAUUGUUAAAAAUCAGCAUUCUUAUUAUUAUGUUCAAAACACAUUAUAUAUAUAGUACAUACCCUAAUUUUUGUUGCGGGAUGUCACACACUCGCACGAUGGGCCAAGGAAUUUUCGAUGUAACCUCAAUAUAGUCUGGAUGUGUUUCGUGAUACGCUAUCUUUUGAAGUACUAGAGGUAUCAUGUCUGCAACAGGCAGCAAUUGUCUCACUAAAACUUAAGUCUAUCAUGGAGUCAUAAAUAGAAAUCUUGCCACAAGAAAUUUAUAAUGCUUGCAGUAAUCAAAUGGCCUCAUAAAUAGAAAUCUUGCCACAAGAAUCCUUUGUUAAGUCUAUCAUGGAGUCAUUAAUUCAAUUAGAUUAAUCUCAGCAACAAGAAAUUUAUAAUGCUUGCAGUAAUCAAAUGGCCUCACAAUUCUAAACUAACUCUCCAUCCAUCAUUAAUCCUCUUGCUUCUUGAGCAAUUAAUGAAAAAUUAAAUUUAUCCACCCACUAUUUCCACUUCUAAGUAAAUAUAAUGUCAAUAGUCCAAAAUUAAAUUAUCUCGUACAAGUUUCCUAAAUAACAUCUUUCAAUAGUUGAAAAUAAGAAAUUAGAUAUAUGUAAUGCAUGUUUUUUUUUUUCAUUAAAACUAUAACCCAUAUCUCCACAUAAGCACAACUCCAAUACUUGAGCCUUUGUACCAAAUUUCCAGGUAAUUCAAGAUAGAUUCUAAUGUUACUAACAAAUCACACAAAUUAGCAAAGCAUAUAUUCGAUAAAAUCAUACUCAACAAGGUGUAACUGUCAAGUUUUUGAGUGGUAACUCACCUUUCAUUCGCCCAAUUUCAAUUCAAGGCAACAAAUUUAUGGGCUGGAACAAACGGCAACAGAGACAUAAAGUAACAGCAGCAAAGCGUCAUUGGCGUUAAUCUCAUCUAAUGGCGCAUCAGAGGGAUAGCAAUCGAGCCUGGCAAACAACUCUUCACUCUUUUUUGCUUGCUUGGAUUGGAUUCAAUCUUGAGGAAGGUUUGAAUUUGGCAAAAAUGGGUGUUGUGCACGCUAGUCGUGAGAGAGAAUUAGGGAUUGUGUUUUGUGACUGAUUGUGCAGGGUAAUUUGAAUGAUUUAGGUUUUUAAUUAGAGCAAUUUCGUAGCUGCACAUUAAAAAAGGUAUAUAUGGGGAAUUUUAGAGUAUGGGGGUGUUCUUAGAUAAAUACAUUUUUUUGGGGUAUGCCACGGAUAAAUCCCUGACUAUAAGAAGUUAUUUAAGUUGUACUAUUUAAUGGGUUUUAUUAAUAGUGAGCGCGUUUAUCAAAUAUAUAAAAAUAAAUAUUUUAGUUAUUAUCCACCUAUUCUCUUGAAAUCAUUCUCAAAAAUUUUUCGUUUACCUAAAAUUCCAAGUAAAAUAGAUAAAAGAAGAAGAGUUGGGGUAAAAACAAAUGGAAGGAAAAACAGGGCUCCCUGUUUUCAAAUUAUCUAUAAGUUACGAAAGGAGAAUGGUUCAGAUUAUCUUGAGCUCUGCGGUCAAACCGUCCAUCAGGCGGAUUCAGAUUUUGAAUUAUCUGUCAUAAUUUGGUUUCCCACUUAAGCAUGCUUAUCAUUGGUUUGAUAUUUGCUUUUUAAGACGACAAUCACUGAUGAUCAUGUUUGCACACCAUCUGAGAGUACUGAAUAUCUACUAUCAGUCCUAUCUAAUUGAAAAAUGUACCGGUAGUUCGAUGAGUUUGUUUCCUUAGAAGCUACUAAAUAAAGAAAGGGAAAAAGAGUGGCUACAAAAAGGACGAAAGUGGGAGGAGCUGUAACUGUAAGGCUUUCACGGCAUAUUGAUUGCCUUGUUGAUGCUGUGGAAAUGGAGGUCGAACUCAAGAUGCAGAUCAUGGUACUAAUGUUCUUGAAGAUCAAGAGAUGGAGAGAUUGAAAAAUAAUAGUGCUGCAAGUGGAUAAUAUUAUAGUUAUAUAUUUCUUUACACAUGUAUAUAAUAUUAUAUUUCUAUGAAUUACUUUAUUACAAUAGUUUUGUGUACAUAAAAGUUUAUAUAAAGAUUAAAUUUUUGCAUUUUCUUUUUUGCAGUUAAGUUUAUUAAUCAAUUCAAGUAUUUGUGUAUAUUACGGACUACAUAACAAAUUUUUUAGUUAAAUAUAAUAUAGUUAAUUUUUAUUGCAGAUUAAAAUAGUUAAUAAAAAAGUUAUUUAAAUGUGUAAUCAAGAAAAUAGAAUAUGCUCUUAAAAAAUCCAAUGAAUAAGAAAAAUUAUUUAAAUAAUAAUAUUCUAAAUAAAUUACAAAUAAGUAAAUGAGUACAUUUUUGUCAUUUGCACAUGAACAUUAUACUUUUAAUUUUCACUUACCAGAUUUAUAUAGUAGAUUAUUAAAAACUGAUUGUCAAAUAAUCAUCAUUUACCAAACACCCGACUAAAUUAUUCAUAAUAUUAAUUUUCUGAUAAUCAAGGUAAAAAUUAAUUCUUGGGAAGUAAAAGAAAUUCCAAACAUACCCUCAAUCAACUACAAGAAGUUAUUUAAGUUGUAGUAUUUAAUGGGUUUUAUAAAUAGUGAGCGUGCUUAUCAAAUAUAUAAAAAUAAAUAUUUUAGUUAUUACCCACCUAUUCUCUUGAAAUCAUUCUCAAAGUUUUUUCGUUUACCUAAAAUUCCAAGGAAAAUAUAUAAAGGAAGAAGAGUUGGGUUAAAAAAAAAAAAAUGAAGGAAAAACAGGCCUCCUCUGUUUUCAUUCCCCUGUUUUGAAAUUAUCUAUCAGUUACGAAAGGAGAGUGGUUCAGAUUAUCUUGAGCUCUGCGGUCAAACCCGUCCAUCAGGCGGAUUCAGAUUUUGAAUUAUCUGUCAUAAUUGGUUUCCCACUUAAGAAUGCUUAUCAUUGGUUUAAUAUAUUGCUGUUCCACUUGUUUAAUGAAUGGAUUCCCACCUACGCGUUUGCUUAUUAAAAGAAUAAAUCUUGCUUUUGCUUUUCUAGAGAAAUAAUGCAAUAUGCAAUUAUGCGUGAUGGUGCGCGUCCAUGUGAGAAAGUUGACGAAAGCUUCUUUUUCAGUAUUGCAAGUGCUAUCCACAGCGGAACUCCACAAUCGAAACCAUCAUUACGACAAUUUUUCUCUGUCGUUUCAAUUUUUAAUUGAAUAUAAAACAAGUAAGGUCAAAUAAAGUCUGGUCCACCAAUUUAAUCAGUAUGAACGUAUGGAUCCCAUCAUUAAUAUUAUAAAUAUGUGGGUCCUUUAAUUAUUACAUUAUAUGAUUAUUGUAUUAUUUAUAGAUUGCUUUAAUCAUGACAUAUUACGAAAGGAGAUUCCCCUUGGAAAAAAAAUAAAAAAGAGAUUCCCUCUUCGGCGACUGAAAAUAAAAGAAAUUAAGGGCUGCAUGAUUGAGUCUUCUUCUUUUGCAAAUCAUUAUCAUUACUCUCAUAAGCUCUCUAUAAUUACAUUCCUCUGCAGGUAACAUUAACUUUUUGCUCAUUAAAAUUGCACUUAAAUACUCAAGGCGAUUACAGAAGCUCAUCAACUUUCCAUAAUUAAACAGGAUUUCCACAACCUUCAAUUAAUUUCUUUUAAUAACAUAAUCUCUGAUGCUUGAUCUCUAUACAAUUUCUUUCUUAAUUUCCAUCCACUUUCCAAGAUAAAAUUUCUAUGGCUUGUUCAUUUAUCAUUUUUUUUUUGGGACACUUGAAGCACGUUUCUGUUAAUAGCAAAAACUCUGAUCCUUAAGAAAGAAGAAAAAAUGCUCUGUUCAUGUUUCAGUUGAUUCAAGAUCAAUUUUGCGAUACUGUUUGCCGUCUUUUUUUCUCUCUCUAGUUUAUUUUAAUUUAUUUGUAUUCCUUUCCCCUUUCUUUGACAUAUUAUUAGAUUUGUUAAGCAGCAGGCAAUGGCAGAAGUGGGUCUGGCUGCUUUUUCCAGCAUUGUAUCAGAAGGUUCAAAGUCACUGUUCAAACUGAUUAUACGGCAGAUAUCUUAUGUGUUCAAGCACCAGAGCUACAUAGAUGGCCUGAAAGAUCAAGUGAAGCAGCUGGGAUAUAGAAGAGAAACGGUGCAACAACCUGUUAAUCAUGCUAGACUACAAGGGGAUGAGAUUUAUGAGGGUGUCACAGACUGGCUAAAUAAAGUUGAUGAAUUCAUCAGUGAAGGGGUUGCAAAAUCCAUCAUUGAUGAUGAAGAUAGAGCUAAGAAGUCCUGCUUCAAAGGGUUGUGCCCCAACUUGAUUUCUCGUUACCAGCUUAGUAAACAAGCAGCAAAGGCCGCAGAAGCUGCCGCUAGUCUCGAGGGAAAAGGCACCUUCUCUAGUGUUUCCUACCGUCCUGCUCCAAAGAGUACAGAAUAUAUGCCAGUGAAAGAUUACGAGGCCUUCGAUUCAAGAACGAAAGUAUUUCAAGAUGUUGUGGAUGCGUUGAAGGAUGAUAGUUUCAAAAUAAUUGGGGUCUAUGGGAUGGGCGGCGUGGGUAAAACCACGCUAGUUAAGCAAGUUAGAAAGCAAGUGAUGGAAGAUAAGUUGUUCGAUAAGGUCGUUAUGGCUGAGGUAACACAGACACCAGAUCAUCAUAAAAUUCAAGACAAACUUGCUUUUGAUUUAGGCAUGGAAUUUGACUUGAAUGAGAAUGAAUUUCAAAGAGCUUCUCGACUGUGUCAAAGGUUGAAGCAAGAGAAGCGGCUCCUCAUUAUACUGGAUAAUAUUUGGACAAAACUUGAGUUCGAUAAAGUUGGAAUUCCUUAUGGGGAUGUUGAUGAGAAAGAUAGAGAGGACGAUCGGAGUAGACGCACAAUAAUAUUGACGUCUCGAAGUCGAGAUUUAUUGUGCAAUGAUAUGAAUUCUCAGAAAAAUUUCUGGAUCGAUGCUUUAUCCAAAGAUGAAGCAUUGCAGUUAUUUGAGAAGAUUGUGGGUGAUUCAAAAAAAACAUAUGAUUUUCAACCCACUGCAGAUGAGAUCGUUGAAAAAUGCGGGGGAUUGCCUGUUGCACUGAGAACAGUUGCAAGUGCUCUGAAAAAUAAGAGUCUUGCCAGUUGGAAGGAUGCAUUGAAUCAGCUAAGAAGUUCCAAUCUAAGAGAAAUUCGUGGUAUGGAUGCAGAUGUGUAUUCUUCCAUAAAAUUGAGUUACGAUUUCUUGGAAAGUGAUGAAGCAAAAUCUUUGUUCCUUCUUUGUACUCUGUUUGGUGAAGGUCAUCCUAUAUACGUACAUUACUUAUUGAGAUAUGGUAUGGGUUUGGGUCUAUUUAGAAAUGUUUACACAUUGGAAGCAGCAAGGAAUAGAGUGGAUGCAUUGAUCGACAGUCUAAAAGCUUCAUGCUUAUUGUUGGACGGUGAUGCUGAAGAUGAAGCUAAAAUGCAUGACGUCAUUCAUGUUGUUGCUGUAUCAAUUGCCGCAGAGAAGCUUAUGUUUAAUAUUCCAAAUGUUGCUGACUUUGAGAGAGAGAUGGAAGAGACAAUACGGAAAGGUCCAAUCGCUAUUUCCUUACCUUAUAGAGAUAUUCAAGAGCUCCCUGAGAGGUUGGAAUGUCCCCAACUCAAGUUAUUUUUUUUGUUUGCAAAGCAUGAUAGCUCUUUGCAAAUUUCACACCUCUUUUUUGAAGGGGCAGAAGAACUCAAAGUUUUAGACUUUACUGGAAUAUUUUUCUCUUCAUUACCUUCAUCACUUGGUUGCCUCAUUAACGUUCAAACAUUAUGUUUAGAUGGUUGCCGACUGAACGAUAUAGCAAUAGUUGGACAGCUAAAGAAAUUAGAGAUUCUCAGCUUUCGAGAUUCUGAUGUUAAGGAGUUGCCACUUGUAAUUGGACAAUUGACGAGAUUACAGUUGCUAGAUUUGAGAAAUUGUAGCAGCCUUGUGGUGAUAGCUCCAAAUGUCAUAUCAAAAUUAUCUCGAUUAGAAGAACUAUACAUUGGUAACAGCUUUUCACAAUGGGAGAAGGUUGAAGGAGGAAGUAACGCCAGUCUUGCUGAAUUGAAUGGGUUGUCAAAGCUAACUACUUUGGAGAUACACGUUCGGGAUGCCGAAAUUCUACCGCAGGAUUUGGUCUCUGUGGAAUUGCAAAGCUAUAGGAUAUGUAUAGGAAAUGAGUGGUGGAGCAGCCGGUCCGUUAAAUCUGGAUUAUCAAGAUUGAUGAAGCUCCAGGGGCUAGAAAAGUUUGGCAUUCUUUUGCAGAAUUACAGGAUGAAACUGUUGUUGGAGAGAACUGAAUAUCUCUAUCUAAAAGAACUGAAGGGUGUUCAGAAUGUUGUUCAUGAAUUAGAUGAUGGGGAAGGUUUUCCACGAUUGAAGCAUCUUCACGUAGAAAGUUGUUCUGAGAUUUUACACAUUGUCGGUUCAGUUGGACGGGUUCGUCGCAAAGUCUUCCCCUUGCUGGAGUCAUUGUCUCUUUGGUGUUUGAGCAAGUUGGAGACAAUAUGUGACAGCCAACUCACAGAAGAUCAAUCUUUCAGCAACUUAAGGAUUAUAAUAGUACGCGGCUGUGACAAAUUGAAGCAUCUUUUCUCAUUCUCCAUGGCCAAAAACCUACUGCGGCUUCAAAAGGUAGAAGUGUUAUUUGGCGGUGAUCUGGAAAUGAUUGUUGGUAAGUGUUGAAAUUAAGUACUGGUGGGAUUAUGGACUUCACCUCAAUUAUUUUGAAAAAAAAAAACGACAAAGAUUAAUUAUGUAUAUUGUUUUUGUUUGUUUAUAGGACCCGACAGGGAGAAACCAACAACUUCUUUGGGAUUCAACGAAAUCAUUGCUGAUGAUGAUACCGCUCCAAAGGUGAUAAUUUUCUGUACAAUAAUUAAUUGAUUAAUUUAUUAUCACGAUUAAUCUUCGAUCAUCAAAAGAAUAUUAUACUAGACGGUUGUACUUGAAGGAACAAAAAUGUACGGGUUUUCUUUGCAGGUUAUUCUUCCGAGCUUAGAGGAAUUGAAUCUCACGCUAUUAAGAAACAUGAAAAAAUUAUGGGCCGAUCAUAAUCAAGGAAUGUACUGUUGUCAAAAUUUAACAAAGGUGAUCGUGAGCAGUUGUGAUCGUAUGAAGUAUCUGUUUUCGUAUUCUAUGGUUAAUAGUCUUUUGCUACUCCAACAUCUUGAGAUAAGAGCUUGUAAGUCAAUGGAAGGGGUAGUCGACACCACGGGGUGGUCAGAAAGAGAUGAAGGACAUAUUCAUUUCCCUAAACUACACUCCCUCGAGCUCCAUUGUCUUCCAGAACUAACAAGCUUCGCCAAUACGGGACAUAUUCAUUCAGAUUUAGUUGUUGAAUUCCCUUCUUUGCUAGAACUCCGGAUUAGUGGUUGCAGUAAUAUGUUAAGAUUCAUCUCUACGAGCUCACCAGAAGACACCAUUCAUUCUGAAAUGCAACCUCCUCCUCUUUUUGACGAAAAGGUUUUUUUUUUUAAUAAAAAAAUUAAUUUUAGUCACAAUACUUAAUUUUUCUUUUCCUUGAGUCUUCAAAUUUAGUUAAUAUCCACCUCUAAUUUAGUUAUCAAUUGAUUAUGCCAUUAAUUGAUUAAUUAGUUAUUUAAUCUUUAACUGCCAGGUACGACUUCCUAGGGUGGAGGUAUUACUUAUGGAGAUGAUGGAUAAUUUGAGAAGAAUAUGGCACCACCAGCUUGCUUCGGAGUCUUUCAGCAAAUUGAAGAAUUUGGACAUAUGGUGGUGUGAUAACCUAAGAAAUAUUUUUCCUCCAUUGGUAAGGUUGCUGUAUUCAUUUCGAAUCUUUUUUCCCAGAUAAAAUUCAACCAUUUUUUAACCAUUUUUGUGUUUACAAAUGGUAUUCAGCCACUAAUUAUUUAUUUCAAGUAUUGUACUUCAAAUUAACCACCACUCUGAAAUCUACGUUUUAAGUCCGGUUUUCAAUUUAAUUGUUUUUGCUCAUAUCUUAAAAGUACGAUUUUCAAAAAUUAAAGGAUCGUCUCUCAUCUUAUAGGUUCACAAAUUCAUCUAUAUAUUUCUCUUUUCCUUAAUUCUUCACGUUUCGAUUGGAAAAAAAAAUAAAAGUCUUCAAAUUUAAUUAAUAUCUCUAGUUUAGUUACGAAUUGAUUAUGCCAUUAAUUAACCACAAAUUCAUGAUUAUUUACAACUGACCCUUGAUUGUAAAGAAAUUUCCUCGAGUCUGGAAGUACUUAAUAAAGAUCCACUUUACAGCAGUCCCUUGUUGACAGUAUUGGGAAAUCUUUUCCAAUUUUUUUUUCCAUUUUUAAAUAUACAUUAAAAAAAGGAACCAAGGAAAAGGGAAAAAUGGUUGAGUUUUUUUUUUUUUUUUUAAAAAAAAGGAAUAGUUGAAAUUUGCAAAUUUAUGCUUAAAAACUGAUAUCAAGAUGCAAAAGAAGUCUAAAAUAUUUAGAAAUUGCCUUAAAUUCUUUCUACGUUUCUAAUACUAAAUAGUGUAAAUGCAUUUUUAUUAUCUUUGUUUAUCUGGGUUUUAUUUAUUUAUUUAUCUUGUUCUAUUUUUGUUUAACAAAAAAUAUCUAGUAGACAUUUCAUAAUUUGUUAUGUUCAUAAAAUGUAUAAUUGUAUGAUUAAACAUACUUUGAACCUAGUUGAAUGAUAUUCUUACAUUUUUACUUUUUUAAUACACCACACAUGCACACACUUUUGCUUAUUUUCAGGUUGGAAUUCCUAGUAGUCUGGUGAAUCUUAAAGUAUCGGGUUGCCCAAAAUUAGAAGAAAUCGUAGGACAUGCUGGAGAAGAAGUGAAGGAGAAUCGUAUUGCUUUCAGCAAAUUAAAAGUUUUGAUACUUGAUGAUUUACCAACGCUUACCAGCUUUUGUUUGGAGAAUUACACUCUUGAAUUCCCAUCACUGGAACGAGUUUCUAUGACACAUUGUCCGAACAUGAAGAAUUUUUCUGACGGAAUCUUAUCCAUUCCAAAGCCAUGCAAAGUACAAGUGACUGAAAAGGAAGAGGGUGAACUGCACCAUUGGGAAGGCAAUAACCUUAAUUCCACUAUACAAAAGUGUUAUGAUGAAAUGGUAUGUGUUAAUCGAUUCACCCAAAUUGUUCAUGCAUCUCCCCUGCACUUGCACAUUUAAGCAUAUACACCUCCCUUGUAUAUAUAUUUUUAGAAGUUAAAACACAAAACAUGUAAGUUUAAUGUGUAUAUAUAUAAUGCCUUUCAAAAACAAAAUUGUAUAUAUCUGGUGCAAUUGUUUUGGUUUGUGCAGAUUGGAUUCCUUGAUAUAAACCGUUUGCAACUCUCGCAUUUUCCACGCUUGCAAGAAAUAUGGCAUGGCCAAGCACUGCCUGUCAGCUUCUUCAACAAUUUAGCAGAGCUGGUGGUGGAUGACGGCACGAAUAUGUCGAGUGCUAUUCCUGCCAAUCUGCUACGGUGCUUGAACAAUUUGGAAUGGCUGGCAGUGAGGAAUUGUGAUUCACUAGAAGAGGUGCUUCAUUUGGAAGAGCUAAGUGCUAAGGAAGAACAUAUAGGCCCCCUGUUUCCUAGGCUUUUAAGCCUAAAGCUCAUUGAUCUUCCAAAACUCAAAAGAUUCUGCAACUUCACUGGGAAUAUAAUUGAACUGCCUAAGUUGGAAUAUCUAAUUAUUGAGAAUUGCCCUGAUAUGGAAACAUUCACAUCCAAUUCUACAUUUGUACUGCACAUGACAGCAGAUAAUAAGGAACCUCAAAAAUUAAAAUCAGAAGAGAACCUCUUGGUAGCUAAUCAAAUACAAUAUCUCUUCGAUGAAAAGGUAAUCAUUAUUAUUAUUUUCCCUUCACUUUCGUUCGCACAUAUGUAAUUUCAUUAUAAUCAAAUCAAAUUUAAUGACUCAUCUUUUUGCACGUCGUCUUAAUUUAUAUCUGAUUUAACAAUAUAACCGCAGUUAUUAACUAACUUUAUAGUAUGAAUUAUAAAAAUGUCUGAAAUUAAUUGGAUGCCUGGUAACACGAGGUGAUGAACUAUACUAAUUAUGUGUGUAACAUCUCUGUUUUCCUAGCUAAUUCAUAUUGGAUUUAGCAUCAGAUUUCAUUUAUGUAUUUCAAAGGGUAAUCGAUUUGAUACUGAUAUUUGGGAUCCUACUGCAAAGCAUACUAAUAUGGAAAUAAAAUAUAAAAUGUCGUGAUUAAUCUUGUCCGUAAAAUAUGCAGGGGAAGACUGCAGAGAUUGGAUACAUAUUUUCAUUUACAACUUAAUUUUGUUGAUUUUCAGGUUGCAUUCCCUAAAUUGAGGAAGUUAAGGCUGUCUAGAUUACACAAAGUGCAGCAUCUCUGGAAGGAAAAUGCCGAAUCCAACAAAGUAUUUGCAAAUUUGGAAAGUCUAAAAAUAUCGGAAUGUAGUAAGUUGCAAAAAUUAGUACCACCUUCGUGGCAUUUGGAAAAUCUUGAGGCUUUGAAAGUAUCGAAGUGUCACAGGUUGAUAAAUGUGUUGACGCUCUCAGCAUCUAAAAAUCUAGUGAAUCUCGGAAGAAUGAAGAUAGUUGAUUGCAAAAUGAUGGAAGAAAUUAUACAGUCGCAGGUUGGAGAAGAAACGGAAGAUUGCAUUGUUUUUGGGAAAUUGAGGUACUUGGAACUUGACUGUUUGCCAAGCCUAACAAGCUUUUGUUUAGGUAAUUACGCUCUUGAAUUCCCGUCCUUGAAACAAGUAGUUGUGAGACAGUGUCCAAAAAUGAAGAUCUUCUCUCAAGGAGUCUUAGACACACCAAUGCUAAACAAAGUGAACGUCACCGAAGAAGAAAAAGAUGAUGAUGAAGAAGAUGAUGAUGAUGAAGGAUGUUGGGAAGGCAACCUCAAUGACACCAUAAAAAAAUUGUUCAAUGAAAUGGUGAGUAUCAAUUAAGUUUUGGUGCUAUUUAGCAAAUUAUUUUAUAGAAACUAAUGUGAUAUAAUAUGAUUGGUUGACUGAAAAUAUAUAAUAAUAAUAAUAAUAAUAAAUAAAUAAAUAAAUUAUGAGGGCCAUGUAAUGUUUUUAUUUAACCAAUCAUAUUAUCUCGCAUUAGUUUAUACAAUAUUGUUUGUGCACAAGAGGUGGUGGUCCUAUCAUUACUCUAGCUUUAUUAUUCUUAUGGUGGCAAUGUAUGCUUGCUUACACGAGUAAUUACAAAAUGUGCAGAAUUCUAAAGAAGAUAUUGAGCCAACCCUUCAGGUACAGUGAAGAAGCUAUCUCGAACCAGGCCAAUCUCUUAUACAUGAUUUAGCUUGCUCGUUCUUCUGUACUUGAAUAAUUUGGUUCUACAUAUUUACAAUUUUUUGCUCAUGCUACAGACGUGCAAGACACUUUGGAUUUUGUUUGAUGCAUUCUCCGUUUAAAGAAAGGACUUGAAUUGAUUUUUCAUGUUUCAUGCAAUAUUCGAUUAGAUUCUGCCUAAAUUUCUGUAUUAUUCUCUUUUAAGCAUUUAAUUUCUAACCUCUCCUGAUAGAAGAUCCUUAGCCUAAGAAAACAGCAUAACAUUUGUGAAAAAGAAUUAAUUAUCUCACACCAGAUUAGAAAAAGAAAACAGCAUAACAUUCGAUUAGAUAGUAAAAUUAUCUCGACCACUGUUAAAAAGAAUUAAUCAGUCGAAUCUCACACCAGCACGCUUUAAAUUAAAAGAAUUUCGUGAAGUCAAGACCAUGUUAUAGAUCUCAUGGAAAGAAGUAAACCCGUAAUCUUUUUCACAGCAUCAUAAGAAAAAUCGUUUUUUUUAAGUAUUUUUGUUAGCUGUCGAGUUUUAAUAGUAGUAGCUAUUAAACAAUAACAAUUAGUGUAUAUUAAAAAGUUGGAAACUGGUUGAUACCACUCGGGAAUCGAGCAGUUCACUUGUUUGCGAGUAGAAACCAACUUUACUACUAAUUACACUCCAAAAAUCACUAUUCUUCAUUUUUUAAUGCAAAAUUCCCAUUCGAAAACACCAAUGACUUUCAUUCAAAGUAAAUGAGAAAUUACAAUGAAAAUAGAAUCAAAAUACAUGUAUGUAUACCUAAAACAAAUGAUUUUUUUAAUUAAAAAAAAAACACAGUUGAGGUGAAAUGAAACCAGAGUCAUGAUAUCUCUGGUUCCAACUUUGGGACAACAGCAGACUUGAGUUCUAUAUGAGAAACACGUACAGCACCAAUCAGCCGCUCCGGUAAUUCAUCUGUAGUAUUUGCCUGCAUACAGAAGAGUAAGAUAAAGAAGACACACACGAAGCAUUAUACCAUUCUGAGAACAUUCAAGUAUGCAAAAAUGCAAAUUGCAGUGCAAUAUCUCAAAAUCAUGUCUUUUCCCUUGUGUCCAUUUAGAAGUGGGGGAAAAAAACAAUCAUACAUACCUGUACAAGGAAAGCCAUGUCAACCACCAAUGUCGUAACUACACCAAUUACAAGGCCCAAAACUCCAUUAGCAACAGUAGAAGAACCGAUGUCAACAUUAAUCUACAGAAAGAUGAACAAUGUUAAACCAUGUUAAUGGUAUCGGAUGCUAUUUGAAAGAUGAACAUCUCAUGUACUAUAGAAAUUCCAAGAGCAUUUACUUCUAAGUACUUGGGACCGCGAAUAUAGUUACAAUCAACUGCUUUACCCAAUAAGCAAAGGGUGCUUCCAACACUCUGGCGCACGAUCCAUGACCCCUGCAUGAUUCAGUGCUUAAAAUCAAGAACAAGUGCAAAACAAAUUCAAGAGGGUAAAAAUGGACAUGAAGUUUGAAGGUACAACCCAUCAAUACAUUUACACCUAAAUGCAUGCCUUCUUUGGACAAAUUGAAGUGUACCAUGCAGUAAAGGGUUAGUAUACGUUAAUAUAGUCCUAAUACAUGAAGGCCAAGAUGGAUACCUUAGGAACAGAUGGAAUAAGUUUCAACCUGCUAUUGCGAAACUCAUCAUCGCCAUCAACAAACCGUUGCAAAAGUGAUCCCAUAACCAAUUGCCUUGCGACUAAAUAAAAUACCAUACUAUAAUGUGUUGAUCCAGGAACCUGCAGAUGCUUAGGUUACAACUAUACAACCUCCCAAUACAAUAAGUUUGAAACUUAAUACCUUCUGAAAUGAAACAAACUUACUUGAAGAUUAAAGAUCAGUGAGAAAAGCCCAUUUUCGGAAGCAACCUACAUUUUUUAGAAGAGGGUUAGUGUGUUAUAGAUUCAAUGAACCAUGAGAAGUUAUUUACAUUGUAGUAUCUCACAGGCAGUAUUUUCUCCUAAUGCAUCAAUGGAAAAGGAAAAAUAAAAAGAAAAGAAUAGUUACUUGUGCAGCACAGCCUUGACGCCUAGCUACAUGGUCCAUUCUCUUUGUGUCUUUGAACCAAUCAACAGCAACAAGAUCCAUUAAAUGUUUUCCCGCAGGUAUCUGCAGUUACAAAUUGCACAAAGCACAAGAAGAGCCAACCAAACUACAUCAUAACCUGUCUACCUAGCCUAUGCAGGAUAUAUAAAUACCAUAACAAACAAACAAAAUAUGGGGGAACCUUUGUUUUGUCAUAACAAAAAUGCUUGCUACGAACUCUAAAGUUAUUUCCAUCAGAAAGUUUCCAGCAGUCACGAGCAUUAUCACAGUCAUCGUGUCGUAGAUUGCCCGAAAAACAAGACAAAUCAAUUUGAUCAGCCUGCUCUUCCUCUAGGGCUGCAACUAAUUGAAAUUUUUUUUUUUAAAAAAAAAAGAUCAAUACCAUAAAAAUCCACUAGCCAAAUAUACAAAAAUGAAUACUUAUCAUCCACCUGUCCUCUUGAAAUCAUUCUCAAUCUUUUUUUCAUUUGCCUGAAAUCCCAAGGAAAAAUAUGUAACUAAUACUUCCCAUUCAUGAAUAUUGUCUAUCGUAUAAACAUGACAUUUUUAAUUGGAAUAAUAAAAUUAUUUAAUUAUUUUAAUUAAAUGUUAAUCCUACAAAUUAUUUUUGUUAAAUCUAGCAAGAAUAACUAAAAUUUCUUUAAGAUAUAUUUUGGUGGUAAAUUAAAAAAAAUUUAAUUAUUUGGCGGGAAUUAUUGAAAUUGGAGCCAUUUUUUUUUGUGGGAAUUGAAAUAUAUUCUUUAAAUUAUUACAUAAAUAGCAAAAUGUACAUACACACACAUAUAUAUAAUUCAUAUAUAAAAAUUCUCUAAUUUGUUCACAAGUACCAUAGAUUAUAAUUCAGUUAUGAAAUAAAAUAACUACAAUUAUUAUAGUUAAAUGAAUACUUCAUUAAUUCUUAAUUUGCAUCCUAACAUUAAAUGAACAACUUGAGUCAGCCACCUGAAUUAACCAGUAACAACGCCUGAGUCAACCAUCUGAAUAAACCAGCAACCCUAGCUGAUUCCAGCACCUGCAAUUAACGUCAGCACAACAGGAACAAUCUUAAAUCAACACCAAGAACAGACCAAACUGCUGUCAAAUGUCACAAAACCAAACAGUCUGCUACUGCCAUCAAAUGCAAGCAAACAUAUGCAACAAAACCAGAUGCAAGUGAAAUUCUGGAGAAUAUCGGAUAAACCAAACCAAAUGCCACACUUCUAGUAAUUAGACUAGAUGCAGUGUUCAAUUAAACUAAAUGUAGUCUCAUAUUACAUUCAAAAUUUCUAAAAGAAGCAGUGUUCCAUCAGAGAAGCACCAAAACCAAACCAAUCUAAUCCAGCAUAAUUACCAGCUCAACCCAAAACAAUUACACAUUAUAUUGACAUAUCAAAAUUCGCUAUCAAAACAUAGCCAAAUAAAUGAAAAUAAACUCAAAACAGACCCAAACCAACUGAUGUUGCAGCCCUAGUAGUCGUUGUCCGUUCCACUGCCAUGGGAGCGAGGGUAGGCUCCGUUGUCGAUGAGUGAGUAAGAUAAGGCUCCAAAUAAAUAGUUCCACCUCCUUUCUGCAAUUCAAAAAACAGAAAUUCAUAUAUGUAAAACUAUUAAAAAUUGUGAAACAACCUGUAAGUAUUCAACUUCUGUCAACUCAAUAGCACUUACUAAAGUUUUUAUACAGAAGAAAAAGGCAUUUUAAGUCCAAAAAAUUAGAAUUAUUGGUUGAACUCCAACUCCAUCAAUCCAUGCAACCAUCCAAUCUUUAACGAAAAAAUGAAGCAUAAUUAACCAGACAUCUGAAUCAGAAAGAUUGUGCUUUCAUUUGGCACGAGGUGUUGGAAACAACUUAACAAAUCUAGACACAAUCUAUAACCAUCAAGUCCAAACAAAAGUCAGGAUCUAAAAUACUUUGAAAAAUCAGAAAAGCAGUUUCAAUUUCUUUUUCAUCCAUUGUAAGCUCAAACUAAAGGUAGCCGCGCUACCUUUAAACAUCAUUUGGGCUUAUACAUGCGACAUUUGCUCAUGAACAACUAAAGUUGAAUAAGAUUUUUAUAUGAAACAGAAUAUAAAAAGUCAAAGUAGAAUAUGACAGGAGCUACAAUAUAUUAUUCAGCAUCAGCAUUAUGUAUAAAAUAAAUUUAGAGGCAUUAUAUUCAUUCACAAUCUUGCAGAGGUAACACCAGAUUAUGGCACGCAUCUCUUGAAUAGCAGAUAAAGGAGGAGAUGCAGUGGGAAGGUAGUAACUUGCUUGCAUGAGAACUAGAAAGUAAUAUCCCAAGAUCAAUUAUAGAUCUCAUAAAACAAAAACAGUGAGGCAAACACAAUUAUACAAUCCAUCUGUCAAAAGGCUAAGCAUAUGAAUAUACAAUCAACACCAUUCUUCCAAACGAAUAUAAAGUCAACACCAUUCUUCUAAACACAAACAAAGUUUGAACGUAUGACAGAUUUUUAGCUAUUUAAUAUUCCAUCAAAGAUAAUUAGAUAACACCUACCAAGGAUUUUUGAAAAGAAUGCAUUCUCAUCUUAAGCAGCAACCUCACCAGUAACACAUUUUCAUACCCUGUUUCCACCUCUGGUCGCACCACCAAAAAAAUUCAGUACUAAUUAGCUUCAACAGAAUCUGUUUUUUUUUUUAUUUUUUAUUUUUUCCAAAAUAAACCUCCAUUCUUAUACAUAAAAUUAAAAUAUCAAUUAAAUACACAAAGUCUAUGCUUACUAGUAAAACACGUCCAUUUUUAGGUAGAGGCAGAUAAUAAAAGAAAAUUGAAACUGAGAUAAAAUAAGAAGAGCUUACUAGGUGCAUUUGAUCAACAAUCCAAUCCUCAACGAUGGAAUCGAUGCCAUCAAAUAAACAUGACUUAAUCUUGAAACCAUAAACUGCACUAAGCAUAGCACCAAAGCCAGAGCGUGACUAUAAAGAAGAAAAAUAAAAAGAAGGAAAAGAAGAAUUAAAUCAACAUGAAAUUCAACUGGAACAAUACAAAAUAUGAAAUUUUUAGCAAUCUUACUAGCGUUAGGGUUAAGGCUUACCAUAGAGAACUGGAUGGCGCUAACUAAAUGACAAGUUGAAACGGCAUCUGCAAUCGUAUUGAAUGACAUUGAACCGCGAGGUAGGGUUUAAAUGAAUACCGAGCAGAGAUAAAUUGGUGUGGUGAAUUAGGGUUUUGUGGCUACGUUUUAUUUCGAUUGAAAAAAGGAAUUUGAGCUAGGCUUUAAUUCAACGGUGUCGUUAAUUUAAACAUUCAUUUUAGGUUGCAGUGGCCAGUGGAGAGAGAGGGAUUCAUUCAACGCUUAGCCAAAACUUGGCUGUAAG